Molecule: long non-coding RNA, 48824 nt
Filed under: Capsicum annuum
Lineage: Eukaryota; Viridiplantae; Streptophyta; Magnoliopsida; Solanales; Solanaceae
Description: long non-coding RNA (CANN_LNC010777)
Source: RNAcentral
CGACAUACAUCUUGGUUGGUUCCACCACCACUAGAGAUUGGACAUAUAUAUAAUCUUUCUUCUAAAAAAGGGAUUCUUAUAUAUAUAUUUUGAAAAUAGCUGCAAGACCAAAACCGAAAGCCCUUCGUUUAUUGUUGUUCCUCCCAGAUACAUGGCUUACAUACCCGGCUCAACAUUCUUGGAAAACAAUCGAAUCGAGGGUUCGGAGGAGAAUUGGCCAUUCAAUCUUGUGAACUGAAUCUAGUUGAAAUUGGAAAAAGAGAUACGAACGGAGAGGAAUAACCAAUCGAUGAAAGAACAUGAAACCAUUCUGUUUCAAUAGAGGUACGAGAAACGGUUGGGGGCAAUGAAGUAGGUGAAGUGGUUGGAUUUUGCGAGCUGUUCCAACCACUGCUGGAUGUGAUUCCAAGAGCCGAACGAGAAUGAAUACCACACAGAAGAGUCAAGACCAGGCUACCUAAUGGAAUGUUUAACCGAUCCAUUCCGGAUCGACCGAAUUGGUACGGAAGUUGUAACAUGGGAAAACCACGGAAAACACGACUUAUUUGAAUAACCCGGUGACCUACCAAUUGUAGAAGUAGGAUUUUUGGCAAGCAAUAAGCACUUAAAUAAUACAAUUCAAGUGUACCAUCUUCUUUCUCAUUUCGAGGAAAAGGUGCGGAAGGAAAAGGAAACAACGGAGGGAUCCGAAUCGGACCUAAAUGGGACUUACUAUAACUAGUUAUUUCGGUUUUCUAUUAGCGGCUUUAACUAUAACCUCAGCUCUAUUUAUUGGUCUGAUAUUCCUCUCAAUCGGUCUGCGGAUGAAAAGAAGAACUUAGAUGAACUAGGGUACCGAGACCCUUCUGAAAAGCCCUCCAAAACUAGGAAGUAUACUGAGUAUCCCUAUUAGAGAUGAUAGCCAAAGGAACUCCAUGAAAUCUAACUAACUCAUGGAUAUACAAUCUAGCAUAAUCCUCAGCUGUAUAAAACGAAUGCACUGGCAAGAAAUGAGCUGAUUUAGUCAACCGCUCUACGACAAUCCAAAUCGAAUCAUGAUGACGACGAGAAGGAGGCAAACCAAUUAUGAAAAUUCACUUCUUCCCACUUCUAAGUAGGAAUACCAAACUCUUGCAUUACACCACCAACCCUCUCCUUCUCUCCCUUAACUUGUUGACAAGUAGAACGCUUUUCCACAAAUCCUGCUAUGUCUUUCUUCAUACCGUUCCACUAAUAGAUUUCCCGCAAAUUACGGUACAUCUUGGUAGCACCGGGAUGAAUAUAAUAUCGUGCACCAUGUGCUUCAGCCAUAAUUAUCUGCCUCAAAUCAUCAACAUUCGGAACACACAGUCUACCUUGCAAUCUCAACACACUAUCUCCCCCUUGGGAGAAAACCUCUACCUUCUUGUCCUUAACUGACUCCUUCAGUCUGACCAAACUAGGAUCCCUGUCCUGCUUCUCCUUUACCUCUGAGACCAAAGAGGACUCGGAACUACUCUGAACUAAUAUAAUCCCCUCAGUGUAAUCAAGCAAUCUAACACCCAACCUAGCCAAAUGAUGCAUAUAACGAGCCAAUUCUUUCUUAUCAUUCUCUACAUGAGCUACACUACCCAUAGAAAACCUGCUAAUAGCAUCUGCCACAAUAUUGGCCUUGCCUGGGUGAUACAUCACACUCAUAUCGUAGUCUUUUAGAAAAUUUGACCAUAUUCUUUGUCUAAGGUUCAGCUCCCUCUGAGUAAACACAUACUGCAAGCUUUUUUGAUUAGUAAAUACAUCAACAUAAACACCAUACAAAUAAUGUCUCCAGAUUUUCAAAGCAAAAACUACAGCUGUUAAUUCAAGAUCAUAGGUUGGGUAAUUCUUCUUAUGAGGCAUCAACUGUCUAGAGGCAUAAGCUAUAACUUUACACCUCUGCAUUAACAUAUAACCCAGACCAACUCUAGAAGCAUCGCAGUACACCACAAACCUAUCAGUACCAUUGGGUAAAGCUAACACUGGGGCUUAAGUGAGUCGAGUCUUCAACACUUGAAAACUCUUCUCAUAGGCAUCUGUCCACUGGAACUUAACUUUUCUUUGGGUCAACUAGGUCAUGGGGGAUGCGAUAGAAGAUAAUCCCUCAACAAAAUGACGGUAGUAACCAGCUAGACCUAAGAAAUUCCUAAUAUUUGAUGGGGAGGUAAGUCGAGGCCAUUUUUUCAUAUUUUACGUCUUUUGAGGAUAAACUCUAAUUACUUUGAAAGAAAUAAUAUGACUCAGAAAACCAACUGAACUUAACAAAAAUUCACACUUGCUAAAUUUAGUGAAUUAUCAAUGAGCUCUAAGGGUUUCCAACACGAUUCAAAGAUGAUCUGCAUGGUAAUCCUCACUUCGAUAAUAUACAAGAAUAUCAUCUAUGAACACAAUAACAAACAAAUCCAGAUACCGCUUAAAUACUCUGUUCAUAAGAUCCAUGAAAGCUGCUGGAGCAUUGGUUAACCCAAAGGACAUAACAAGAAACUCAAAAUGACCAUAGCGGGUUUGGAAAGCUAUCUUUGGAAUAUCACACUCUCUCACUUUAAGCUGAUGAUAGCCGGAUCUAAGGUCUAUCUUUGAGAAAUAACUUGCACCCUGCAGCUGAUCAAAUAAAUCAUCGAUUCUAGGAAGAGGGUACUUGUUCUUAAUAGUCACCUUGUUGAGUUGAUGGUUGUCAAUGCACAUACGCAAUGUACGAUCUUUCUUCCACAGAAAUAGAACAGGUGCUCCCUAUGGGGAAACACUGGCUCUGAUAAAGCCUUUUUCUAAGAGAUCUUUGAAUUGCUCCAUCAACUCUUUAAGUUCUACGGGAGCCAUAUGGUAUGAAGGGAUGGAAAUAGCUGAGUGCUAGGAAGGAGAUUAAUCCCAAAUUCUAUUUCUCUAUCAGGUGGAACCCUUGGAAAGUCUUUCGAGAAAACAUUGGGAAACUCUUUAACAAUGCUAACUGAUUGAAUAGUCGGAGUCUUGGACUUGAGGUCUUUAACUCAAACUAGAUGAUAGAUGCAACCCUUGGAAAUCAACUUCCUAGCUUCGAGGUAGAAUAUGAAAUGGCUCUUUGGAGUUACAGAACUCCUGAACCACUCAAACACGAGUUCAUUAGGAAACAGAAACUUGACCACUUGGGUACGACAAUCUAUAUACGCAUAGCACGAGUGAAGCCAAUCUAUACCAAGAAUGACGUUAAAUUAACCAUAUCUAGCCAAUCAAAUCAGCACAUAUGACCCAAUAAAGGAAAGUAAUAGGACACUUCUUAUACACUUGCUUAGCUAUAACAAACCCUCUUACUGGGGUAGAAACCAGAAGAGGCUCAAGAAUCCAUUCAGGGUCCAUCACAAAAUUUAUAGCAACUAGAGGUGUCACAUAAGAGAAACUCAAACCAGGGUCCAUCAAUACAUACACAUCAAAGUGAAUGACACAGAGCAUACCAGUGACAACAUCUGGAGAAUCCUCCUACUCCUGGCGAGGCAGAAUAGAAUAGAAGCAAUUCUGGCAUAAACCACCAACAGUACUAGAAGAGGCACCUUGAUGAGGAACUGGGCGGACUACUGGAGUAGGCGUAUUAGUAGCUUGACUCUGGGGAUGAGCAUCUCGACUCCCCUAUCUAGCAUACGGAUAAUCUCUAAGUCGGUGGCCCAACUUGACACAACCAAAGCAAUCUCUCUGGUCAACAAAACACUCAUCAAAAUGAUCUCUACCAUACUUGGCAUAUGAAGGAGGACGAGGUCUUUUACUUACACUUUCCUAAGACCUGGAUGGGAUAUGCUUGUUCCCAUGCUCCUGCCUGCUUCUAGGUACGGAAGCACUAACUGAGGAAGGAACGGGCAUAAACGGAUGUCUCUGGAAUUGAGGGUGGUCCCCGCCAUAGAAUCUGGACUGAACGAAUCCUCGCUGCUCUAAUCUAGCUCUUUUAUUCCCUCUUACUCUCUCAUUCUCUUUCACCUAAUCAACUUUAAUCUAUUGGACAUGUAUCAUCAACCAAGAAAGGUCCAUCUCCUUAUUAAGCAUAGUAGAUCUACCCUCUUUCACAACUUAACUCGACACACCGAUCACGAACUUACUCAUGAUGGUCCUGGAGUCAGCCAUCAUACUAGGUGCAUAUUUGGACAACUAAUUGAAUCUAAGGCAAUAAUCCUUAACAGUCAUGGAGUCUUGUCUCAAAUUCAUGAAUUACUCUGUCUUUGCUUCCCUUAUCUCAAGAGGAAAGAAUCUAUCCAAGAAUGCAUCUAGAAUAACUGCCAAGUCAUAGGAGAAGCAUCCUUCCCUCUACUUUCCCACCACACUUUGACAAUAGUCAAGAUAAUAUAAGAGAGAAUGACAUAUCAUAAACAUACUGGAAUAAGAUACGAAACUAGCCUGAACAAUCCAAAAUACUAAAAUUCUGUACAUACCAACCUUUUAGCCUGACAAAGCCUCUAUACAUCAAAAUCAAGGAGAUAUUGGGACAAACCCCCAACUGACUCAAACAGUACUGAAAGCCAUAAAAACAAAAUGGUAUCACAAAAUUAUAAACACGAGCCUCGAAACAUGAGGACUCACCACUGAGCAGACAAAAAGAGGCACCCAAAUAUCGCUAACGCGACUGAGUACCUGAACCUACAUUAAGAGAAAAUGUAGCCCAUAGAAAAAUAUGUGGGUCAGCACUUUGGAAAGUACUGAGUAUAUACAGGUGCAUGCAACAAUGUAAAUAUCUUCAUCAAUGUCAUGAAAAUAUGCAUAUGUACAAUGAUGGAUCACUUGGCUUGAGUAAGAUUGAAACAUAAUUUUCAUGAUCUCAUCUUAAAUAAAUCAUAUGAUAAAAACCUCAUAUAUCAUCAUAAACAACUCCACUCUUCAACUCAAGACUCAGAUUGACCUGUAAUUCAAGAAACUAGACUCUUAUGGACAUAGGAGGUUCUUAUAACCAACAUAAACUAUGUGAGCUACAUGGAGUCCAAUGUUUUUCCCUCCUAAGGAGAGAACCCCACAUUGGCGGGAGCAUCGUACUCUUGUCAGGGAGUACAACCUAAAUUUAGUGGUCACAAACUCAUACUCGGUCUCCGGCCCACAAUUAUCAAUAUCAAUCAUACGGUGUCACGUAGUUUCAGGGGAAAUACCAUAUUUCUCGCUCGGUGCUAAAUACUACUCCCAGACACAAGCUCAGAAUGCAUUAGAAAAUCCACCACAAAUAUCACAAGAGUCUGUUAUGAAGAUCAAAUCAAAUCUCAUUCUCAUUUGUCAAAUCAUAAUCAAUUUGUUGAUUCCUAACUCGACCCAAAUCAAAUCAAUCUUUCUCAAUAUCAAAAUGCAUCAAUUCAUUAAGUGAUGAAAACAUCAAUAACUUUGAGGAAAUAUCAAGACUCAUUGUAACAACUCAAUUCUCAUGAAUCAAUAUACCCAAUAAUCCAAUUUGUCAUAAGGAAGCUAAACGCUUGACACAUAUCUUGGAAGCACUUGAAAUACCAACUCAUGGUAGAAACUUGAAAUUCACAAUAUUAAAUAUCAAGUCAUAACUUGGAAAUAGUAAAAUAAUCAUGUAUAACAAAGCUUGAACGAUUUAUAUUCUCAUAAUCUCAUGAUGAAGUAAUUUGGGUAUAAACCCACUUGCAAAAUCAUAUAAAUCCAUUAUAAAAAUCAAACCUUUGAGCACAAGAACGAAAGAAUUGCUCUUGUUCAAAACCCCACAUACCUUAAUCUUUGAAAUUGGUUGAACUCUAGUGCUUGAAACUUUACUCACACUUGUAAUAAAAAAAUUCUUCAACCCCACUCUAUGACGAACUUGAUUCUUGAAGGAAUCUUAAAGAUUUAUGGAGGAUUUUUGGAAGAUUAAUUUCCUUAAAUAAUUCCCGAGAUAUAUUUCUUAAGAGAAUUGGAAGAAAGAUAUGAAGAAAUUAGAUUUUGAAUAAGGAUUCUCAUAUAUAUAGAGGCCUCCAAAAAUGGGAAAUGACUAAAAUUUCCUUGCAAAAAUCAUCCAUCAAUUGCUGAAAAAAAUAGCUGACGACAUCCGUGAUAAGCUGUCAGGCCCGUGAUAGGCCGUCACGAAUUGUCGUCACAAAAAGGGUGGAUUUUGUGACUUUCUACCUUAAGGUGACGACAUUUUGUGACGGGCAGUCAGUUUUGUGACAAGUCGUCUCAAAAGAUCGUCACGGAUUUUCUAGGCUGACAUGUUGGAGUAAAAUAAGUAUAACUCUUUGCUCCGAUAUUGGAUUUUGAUGAAAUGGGUAUCGUUGGAAAGCUAAUUCAAUUAUAUAUCUUUUUGUAGGUCAUGAGAUCAAUAAUUCCUAUUACAACUCGAGCUAUGCUCAUUUGAAGUUUACUAUGCCAAAAUCCUUCUCAAGAGUUCAAUCGGUAAAGAGUUUUUGUUUUGCCCAAGCGUUAGGACAUCUUUAAAACCUUAAUACACAUCACCCUUGACUAGAAAACAACCAAAACACUAUAAUUUAUUUCUCAUGGACUUGAUUCAUGGCGGCACUAUUAGUUAGAAUCUCGGGGUAUUACAAUAUUACUUUUAAUUAUCUUUGCUAUAUACCUUUCUGUAAAUAUAAUGCAAAUUUAUCUUAUAUUGUUAUAAUUGAAUUAAAAAAAUAUUUGAGAUGAGCCACAUAUUUUUUAAAGUAAAUUAUGUAUUAUUAUUGUUAUUAUUAUUAUUAUUAUUAUUAUCAUUAUUUUUAUUAUUAUUAGUAGUAGUAGUAGAUAUGUAUGUUUUACUACUACUACUACUAAUAUUAUAAGUUAUAUUUUAAUUAUUAUUAUUAUAUUUUAUUUAAUAUUUAAAUAUAUUCAAAAUAUAUAAAUUUAUGAUAUAAUUAGAGAUGUUUUAGGUCUUUUCAACUAUGAUUUUUUAAUUUUAAACUAAUAAAUUAUUUUUAAAAUUUUCAAAUCCUACUAUUUUCAAAUUCAUAUAUUUCUAUUAACAUAGUGAAUUACUUAUGUAAGACUUAAUUACCUGCAUAACUCACUGCUAAACUAACUAAAAAAAAAUACGCUACUACCUGCAUAAAUAAUAUAUAGAUAAUCCCUAAAUUAAAAAAAUCUGCAUAACUCUAAUUGACGUCCUUUCAUUAUUUACUUUUUGCUUCUUAGGUUUAAGUGGGUAAAUAGAUGAAAAGAGAAAAUAAAAGACUCUCAUAUCUUGUUUCCCCAGAAGCACCUCUUUAGAAGAAGGGUGUUGUUGAAGCAACUCAUUUUCAGAUUCAAGCAGUCUUUUGUUUUGUUCCUCUUCAAAAACAAAAGCAUGAGCCGAGGCAACCAUUUUCUUUUCUCACAGGAAAUGAAGAACAAGAAGAAAACUGCAAUUUAAAACCAGGCUUUAAAUUUCAAAAACAAUAUAAAAAAUCAUGAAAGCAAAAGGGGAAAGCCAAAGUGCAAAAAGAACUCACCAGUAGUAAGAUACAAAGGAUGAGAGUGAGAGAGGAAGGAGGGUUAUAUUAAAAAUGGAAUGAAUACAGAGGUGGCAGAACACAUCUAUCAAAUAUUCUUUAACAACACACUAGCUACAUCACCGACAUUUCAAAAUCGAGGCAACUUUUUAUCUUGUUUAAAAAAAAAUUUCAAAGAGUGUGAGUAGGACUGAGGUUAUCUUAACUGUGUCAAUUGGUUUGCCCUCUUAAAAUCUUCAUUUUCUAUUUCUUUUAAUUGAACACAAUUUUAAGAUGGCAAACUAAUUUACGCAGUUAAGACAACCUCAAUCCUACUCUCACACUUUGAAUUUUUUUUCUGGAUAGGACAAAAAGUUGCCUUGAUUUUAAAACAUCGGUGAUGUAGCUGGUGUAUUUUUAAAGAAAUUUGAUAGAUGUGCUCUGCCUCUGCUGUAUUCGUUCCACUUUUCAUAUAACCCUCCUUCCCUUCUCUCUCGUCCUUUGUAUCCUAGUAUUGGUGAGGUCUUUUUGCACUUUGUUUUUCCCUUUUUGCUCUCAUGAUUUCUUAUUUUGUUUAUGAGAUCUAAAGCCUGGUUUUAAAAUUUCAGUGUUCUUCUUGUUCUUCAUCUGCUGUAAGAAAAGGAAAUGGCUACCCCGGCUCAUGCUUUUGUUUAUGAGGAAGAACAAAAUAAAAGAUUGUUCUAAUCUGAAAAUGAGUUGCUUCAAUAGCACCCUUCUUCUAAAAAUGUGCUUCUAGGGAAACUAGAUGUGAAGCCUUUCUUUUCUCUUUCCAUCUGUUUACCCACUUAAACCUAGGAAGCCAAAAGUAAAUAACAAAGGGGCCUCAAUUAGAGUUAUGCAAGUUUUUUUACUGUAGGGAUUAUCGAUGUGGAAAUCUAUAUAUUAUUUAUGCAUGUAUUAAUGUAUUUCUUGGUAGUUGAUUUAGCAGUGGGUUAUGCAGGUAAUUAAGUCCUACAUAGUUAAUAUUAAAAUAUUAUUAGUUGGUUUAGCUUACGUUUACUCCUAUUAACAUAGAAUAACCCUCGAAACCCUAAAGAAGGCCCAUGAAAACCCAUCUACCAAAUAGAUGGCUCGGUAGCCUUUCUCAACUGGUUUGAUGGCCCGCUUUUAGGGCGCAAAUAUGGAUGAACAUGAUUAUGCUAUUCAAGAAAAUUAUAGUAGUACUACUGGGAGUUUGGAUUAAAAGGGACAAAUAAGUUGUCUAAUUAAGUGAGAAUCCUUCAAGUUUUUAAAAUUAGGUGGGAGGGACAAAAUUUUUUUGAUUUUUUUUUAAAGUUUUUUCGUUCCAACAACUUCUCCCAAUUGUCGAACAACUUUGAUAGCUGUUCGACAACUUCUAGCAGUUGUUCAACAACUAUCAAAGUUGUUCGACAGCUACGCUAAGUUGUUCAACAACUAGGCGAAGUUGUUCGGCAACUGGGAGAUGUUGUUCAACAACUGCAUGAAGUUGUUGAGACAACUAAUGUAGUUGCCGAAAACUGUCACAGUUGUUCAAAUAGCUUAAUUUUUUUAAAAGGGACAAGUUACGGGACCCAUUGUCCCCUUUUCUUAAUUGGAAACUUAUGAGGUCUAUUGAUUCAUUUUUCUCACUUAAGUAUUUAAGUUGUAUAUAUCAUGAAGUAGUUAGCUUAUAUUUGCACUGUAAAUUGUAAUAUUAAGUGUAGAGAUAGUCCUAUAUACGUUUAGUACGUCAAAGAGAGCUACUCGCAAACAUUGUGCAAUUCAAUUUGUCGCAAGAAGCACUUAAUCAUCAUGCAAAUACUUAUUGGUUCCGAAUAUUUACCCCUAAUCAAUGAUUUUAGUAAUAAUAAAUUAAGAAUAUAAGAUCAUUCAAUCAUGAUAACAAAAAUAAUUUAUAAAAGAUAUUAUCUUGUAAUACUGGGUAUAAAGAGAGGUAGAUGUAGGCUGAGGAGGUCUACGUAAAGGUGAUUAGAUUAGGUAUUUGUAGCUUUUCGAGGCUAUGAUCUAGUUAUAAAAAUACGGAGAUCAAGGAUGUGGUUAGUGGAUGGCUAAGCAUUGUCUAAUUUCCCUAUUAAGUAGUAUUUUUGUUUUUACUUUCAUACUAUCUUAUUCUUCUAUAUUAGAAUAAUUUGUUUGUUUUUAGUUCAGUUAUCAUCUUAAUUGUUUGUUGUUGCUACUAUUUUCAAAUUUACUAUUUUAUUUGUUUUACAUGCCUAAUUUUUUUUUAUAUGUUUUACUUGAGUCGAGAGUCAAGAGUCAAUCGAGAACAACCUCUCUAUCUUCACAAGGCAGAAGUACAUGUCCAUACUACCUCUCCAAACUCCACGUGUAAUAUUAUGUAUGUUAUUAUUGUGUAUAUCUUGAAUUGAUUGAUCAAAUGUAAAUACCCGAUGUUGAGGUAUACUUGUACCCAUUGGCAGAGGGAUAGGGAUAAUCUUAGGAAAAGGGUGAUUUGAUGUACAUCUUUUAUAAAAAAGAUUAUAUAGUGUGCAGAAGCUUAAUAUUAGCUAUUAUACGUCUAUAUUAAAUUUUGUACAUCCUUAACACAACUAAAAAGAAAAUAUGCACACUCCUCGACAAAUUUCUGACGACACUGCUACUGCCUUGCCUCAACUGUGUACAUGUAAAGAUGACGCCAUAUAGCAUUUGUCAUCUACAUGACGCCCAAACUCUUUUCUCAGUGUACCUACCCAACCUGUCACCUUAUUUUCUGCUUUUAUAAUUGCAUAUCCUUCCAAAUUUCAUACACCGUCCAUUUCAUUUUUAUUAGAUUAAAAAUAACUAUUUUAAUUUAUUUGUGUAAUUUAUAAAAUUAUAAAAAAAGAUUAUUACGUGAAGUAUUAAAUGAAGUGAAAGGUGUAUUCUACAAAUAAAUAAAUGCUAGUUUCAUUUAAUCCAUAUUCCGUACUAAGCUCGGAUCCAAACAACUCUACAUAUAAAUAAUAAUAAUUAAAUUUUAAAAUAUAAUUUAUAUUAUAUUUUUUAAUUUACAAUUAAUAUAAUUUAAUGACCGAUGUAUUAAAUAUAUUUUAUUAAAAUUUUUUAUAAUUAUUAAAGUUCUUAAUCACAUAAUUGGAUAAUUUUUUUAAAAAAUUAUUUGUACGGAAAAAGUAUUAGAGGAGAAUUAGAAUAUAACAAGAGACCACAAGUAAUUUAAUAUUUGAUAAAAUGAUAUGAUACAACAUCAACAAUAACAACAUACCCAGUGGAUUCCCACAUAGAGGGGUCUGGGCAGGGUUGAGUGUACGCAGAUCAUACCACUACCUAAGAUGAAGUAGAGAGUCUGUUUCCGACAGACCCCCGGCAUAGGACCGAUAGCAGUAUAACAAACACAAAACAUAAAUGCAAAAAAAAUAGUACAGUCUGCAAAAUAAACUAACGUCACUUGCCAUAAGAUAAUACUAUAGUCACAAAAUAAUACUAAAACUAUCUAUCCGAAAUCAUAGACAUCACUUAAUACCACGAACAAGAAACUUCAAACACAAAUAAAGAAUGCUCCCCUAUUGUUACCGACACACUCUCAACCCCUAACUCUCUACCCUAAUCGACAUUCUCCACACCUUCUUAAUCACAUCCCUCCAAUAUUUGUUCGGUCAACCUCUACCUCGCCUAAAAUCAGCCAUAGCCAAUAUCUCACACCUUCGCGCUGGAGCAUCAGAUCCCUUCUUCAUCAUAUGCUCACACCAACGUAACCUUACUUCUCGUAUGUUGUCCUUCACCGAGGCCAAUCCCACCUCUCCCAAAUAAUCCCAUUUCUUACCUUAUCUUUUCUAGUAUGGAGACACAUCCAUCGCAAUAUUCUCAUUUCCGCCACUUCAACUUUGGAUGUGGGAGUUCUUAACUGGCCAAUACUCUCCAUACAACAUAGUCGGCCAGACUGCCUCUCUAUAGAACUGACCUUUAAGCUUCGGGGGCAUCUUUCAUAUCACAUAAAACACCCAAAGUGAGCCUUUACUUAAACCACCCAGCCCCAAUAUAUUGUGUGACAUCCUCGUCAAUCUCACCAUUGCCUCAAAUCAUAGACCCCAGAUACUUGAAACUCUCCAUCUUCUGAAUGGCCUGAGAGUCUAACUUCACAACCACGUCAGCCUCCUACGACGUAUCACUAAAAUUACACUUCAAGUACUCCAUCUUGGUCCUGCUUAAUCGAAAUCCUUUAGACUCAAGGGUCUGUCUCAAAAUCUCCAACUUAUCAUUAACACCUCCCCGAGUCUUGUUAAGAAGUACCACAUUAUUAGCAAAUAACAUACACCAAGGAAGCUCCUCUUCAAUAUGUCUUGUCAAAAGAUUCAUCACCAAGACAAAUAAAAAAGGGAUAAGAGUCAAACCCUGAUGCAACCCUACCAAAAUUGAAAAAUGCUCUGAAUCUCCACCUACUGUCCUCACUUGAGUCUUUGUGCCAUUAUACACGUCCUAAAUCAACUUAGUGUACACCACAGGCACCCCUCUAGCCUCCAAAAACCUCCAGAGAAUCUCCUUGGGAACUCUGUCAUAAGCCUUCUCAAGAUCAAUAAACACCAUGUGCAAGUUCUUCUUUAUGUCCCAAAAUUGUUCCAUUAAUUUUCUCACAAAGUGAAUGGCCUUAUUAGUCGAGCAACCUAUCAUGAAAUCAAACUAAUUCACAGUGAUAAUCACACUCCUUCUUAGCAUCAACUCUACCACCCUUUCCUAAAGCUUCAUAGUCUGACUUAACAACUUAAUACCGCUAUAGUUGUUGCAACUUUGGAUAUCUCCCUUGUUUUUAUUCAAUGGAAUCAUUGUACUCCGACUUCAAGAUUCAGGCAUCCUUCCCGCCCUAAAAAUGAUGUUAAUAACCUUGUCAACCACUUUAAACCUGCCUCGCCAGUGCAUUCCAAAAAUCCACUGGAAUCUCGUCUGGCCCCAUCAACCUACGUCGACGCAUCCUGCGAAUAGCCCUCUUGACCUCCUUAACCUCGAUAUGCCUACAAUAACCAUAGUUGUGACACUCCUCAAAUUUCUCCAAGUCCCCAAACACGAAGCCUUUAUCCCCCUUAUCGUUCAAAAAUUUAUAAAAAUAAGACUGGCACUUUUUUAUAAUGAGGGCAUCCUCAACCAACAUAGUACCAUCCUCAACCUUGAUGCACUUAUCCCUGCUAUUCUCCUUUAAAGAUGCAUACAAGCUCUCAAAAUUUGUCAUUUUAUCCACUGUAACCACUAACUUAGCCUCUCACCUAGCUAGAGCUUAUACUCUUCCUUAUUUGUCCGCCUCUCUUGAUUAUUCUUGCUCUUGACCAAUUUAGCAUAAGCCACCUUUUUAGACUCCACCUUCCUCUUAAUCUCCUCAUUCUACCACUAGUACCCUCGAUGUUUACAAAAUUGACCUCUCAAGACACUAACACCUCUCUAGCGAUCUCCCUAAUGCAACUAGAAAUCGUCUCCCACAUACUAUCCACAUCCCCUCUACUUUUUCAAGCCCCCUGCUUCUCAACUUCUCCCCCAUCUUCAAAGAAUUAGCUAAAGUCAAACUACCCCACUUAAUCUUAGGUCGAACCUCCAUACUCCUCUUCUUUCAGCCCUUAUUGAUUACUAAGUUCAUCACCAACAACCUAUGUUUAGUCAAAAGAUUAUCUCUAUGUAUGACUUUACAAUCUUUACAUAGUUUUCUAUCACUCUUCAUAAGGAGCUAAAAGUCUAUCUGAGUCUUGGACACUGAAAUACAAAACAUUUCAAAAAUCUCAAAUUCGCUAUCCACAACCCAAAAGACCUAGAAAAAUCUAAAAGAGAAGCACUUUCUUUAUUUCUCUACCCUAAAUCAAAAUCUCCAUGCACGUCAUCAUAACCUCUCGACGAAGACACAAUAUGCCCAUUGAAGUCUCCGCUCACGAAACGUUUCUCAGUGCUUGGGACGCCCCUCACCAUCUCAUUCAAAACCUCCAAAAGCCCUUUUUUUCUUCCUCGUCCAAACCUAAUUGCAGAGCAUAAACACUAAUAACAUUCACCGUAGUUCCUCCUAUGACCAACUUAACAGACAUUAGUCUAUCACUGACUCUUUUAACCUUUACCACCUGCUCCUUAAGUUCUUCAUCUACUAAGAUACCUACCCAAUUUCUAUAUCUCAUGCUACUCGAGUACCAUAACUUAUAUACAUCCACAUCUCUCACCUUAGUGCCUACCAUUUAGUUUCCUGGACACACGCUAUCGAACCCUCCAUUUUCCAAGAAUCUUCAUCAGCUCUAUAGACUUAUCUUGAAGCAUCUCUAUGUUCCAGGACCCAACUUUCAACCUAUAAGCACCCUUAUCCAACUUAGACCUACUAUCCCUCGCCCUCAACCCAAGACUAGAACGUAGACUCGACCCCAACCCCAACCUCGACCUAUGACAUGACCCUAGUCCAUCAUCUAUCUCCCCAACCACCACUCAAAAAGAUACGAUAGAAGAAAAUGAACAAAAAAAAGCUGAAAACCACGAUGAGCAUAAGGGUAUGACUAAAAACAGCUAAAUCAGCAAACAAAAACUAGUAAGCAGGAUUGAUACUCACAAGCAACAACAAUUACUAUACUACUCACAAGCUACUAACACCUACUAAGUUACGGAGAAACCAUAACCAAUAAUCCUAUAGGAAUAAUUAAAAACUCAGGCAAGAAAUUAGGAUAGAAAAAGACACAAGAAGCAUAUACCAAAUAAACUAGAGAAGACUGAAAUGAGUGCACCUGAUACUGGGAGAAGACACAGUGAAAGAUGUUUUCCUGAUUGUUGUGUCGAAUUUCAGCACAUUGGUGCAGAAAUUGAUCGUCAGAAUUUGUUGUCACCACCUUUACCCUACUGCUGGACCGUAUCCCUGUACUUAGUCACCGGAGAAUGUGCUGGACGUCGAAAAAAUAAGCUAGACACCGAAAUCUUGAUGUCUCCUCCUGAAGUACGGGUUUGAACUUGGAGUACCUGAAAAGAUUUAUAAAGAAAAUAAAAGAGAAGAAAAGAAAAGCAACGAUCAAAUUGUAAAAAAUUGACGUCACUCACCAAAAAUUGAUGUGGUUGUUGGGCCUCAGAGAUAGGCCGUCGAAAAAGCCGCUAUCAUUUUAGUGGUCGGCACAAGAAGUGAGAGAGAAAAACACGAUGAUUGCGCCAAAAUCUGAUGGGAUCGCUGAAACUGAUAGGGUCGUUGGGACGUGUUUAUGGUAGCCGACAGAAGUAAUUUAAUUUCGUCGGCGCCGUCGAUUGAAUAAAUGGAAGAUUCUAAACCCUCAGCAUAUAUGACAACUAUUAAUGUCAUCAAUUUAACUUGAGAUGCCUAUUCAAUAAAAUAACAUGACAACAUUUUAAUAAUUAUAGUUCAAUGCUGAUUAAAAAUAGAAAAAUAUUGAUUUUAAUGAAUUUAUGGGUACAAAAUUUCUCAGUUUAUUAUUUUAUUUUCACCUAUUUCAUGUGACAAGAGUUGCAAAAUUCAUUUUUUCAUCUAAUACAACAAAGUAUUUCAAUCACUUCAAGUAUAUAUAAAAAUAGUUACAACAUUAAUUUAGACCCUUUACACAAACUAACUUAAUCAUGAUCUAUAAGGAUAUUGAAUAAUAAUUAAAUUACAUUAACGAUUAUUCCAUUCGGUCCAUUUACUUAUCGUGUUAAUUUUUUAAACACCCUUUAAAAAUAUUCUAUUCAUUCUUCUCUAAUUAUUGAUUUAUCCUUUUUCAUGUUAGCUAAGAAAAAUAUGUAAGGCAUUGUACUAUUUAUUAUUGAUUAAGUUAUCCUAUUUAAUACUCCCUCCGUUUCACAAUAAGUGAAUUAUUGGAGUAAUUUUAGUGUUUCAAAAUAAGUGAAUGAUUCACAAUUCAAGGUAGAUNNNNNNNNNNNNNNNNNNNNNNNNNNNNNNNNNNNNNNNNNNACAAAAAGAAUAAAGACAAAAAUAAAAAUAUUUAGCAAAAGAACAUCAUCAAUCCUUGUGAGGACUACCGAAAAUUGAUAUCCUCCCUUAUAUAUAAUAGUAAAUUGUAUUCUUUUUUCAUAUUGCUAACACUGUUUGCAAUAAAGAUUAUAGUGACAGAAACAAAUUCAGUCACAAUGCAAAUAAAAUAUGAAAAAAUAAGAAUUUUAUUGAUAAAUGAUAUGGAUAUAAUUCUGUUACUCCCUUGAUUCUUCUUUCUUUAUUUUUCUCCAUAAUUCUAGGACCAUUAGUAGCGUAUUUCUCGAAAGUAGAAAGAUUUAAAUUUGAUAUGAUUUUUUAGCGUAUUUCCCGAAUGUAAAAAGAUUUGAAUUUGAUAUGAUUUUUUUUUUGUAAUUCAAGGGUCGUUAGUAGCGUAUUUCUUGAAUAUAAGAAGAUUUAGAUUUGAUAUGGAUUUUCUUCGUAAUUCGAAGGCCGUUAAUAACAUAUUUCUUGAACGUAGAAAUAUUUGAAUUUGAUCUCCAUAAAAGAAGGGUUUAUGGAUCUUCUUGAUAUAUUUGAUUAUCAAAAAGAGAGUGAUAUUCAAUGAGUUUAUGAAAUUAUCGGGAGAUGAUAAAUCUCUUUAUUAAGGGCUUAGAGUAGAGUAGCCACCAAGUUAGGUUUAGCAUAAAGUAACCGCUAAUAACUCUAACAAAAAUUGAUUUUUUAUUAUAGAGUUCACAAAAUUAUGAUGUCUAUAAACGCUUUGUAUUGUCAGACAUUAUGACAACAAAAUCCUUUGCUGAAAUGUCAAAAUACAAUUAUUUUUCUUCUUUGAGAUGAUGAAUGAAGUACGUGUUAAUUUAGUGGAGUCACUUAGCUCAAGUCAUUCAUGCGGCAUACCAUGAAAUCAGAAAACUACAUCAAGCUAGGAGAAGAGAGCAAUCACAAAAAUACCAUAUUUAGCAUAUUUUCAUAGCUCAAACUCGUGACCCCCUGAUCAAAUGGAGGGAACUAUCCACAAUAAUUCAGACAAAUACUUCUCAUAGAUAAUCACAAAUGUCCAAGCAAGACUAAAUCUUUUAAGAAUUUUACUACACACAAAGACAAAACCAAAGGGCAGUCCGGUGCACUAAGAUCCCGUUAUGUGUUGGGUCCCAGGAAAAAAUUAGACCACAAAGGUCUAUUAUACACAGUCUUACAACUGUGGACCCCUCUUUCCAUAGCUCGGACCUAUGACCUUCUGGUCAUACGACAACAACUUUACCAGUUAUGACAAGGCUCCUUGUCUUACACAAAACAAAUAACAUUUGUAAAAAUGAAAUCUUUAGCAAUUUUUUAAAAUUCUUUAUACCCAAAUUUCAAAAAUAAGCUAAAAUAUAACACUGAUAACAUAUGGUUAAAUAAAUAAUAAGCAAAAAAUGCAAACUACCCAAAAAAAUUCAGGCAAAUAAAACUUGUAAUGCAUCAAGAUUAAUUUUGGACAAUAGCUUAAAAAUAAUCUCACUUUCUCACAGCUGAAUAAUGAAAUUCCAAUUUUUCCCUUAGCAUUAUGUCACCAUUGAUGAUGGAUACUGUAGCAUUAAGAGACAAUUUCUUUCCUUUUCUGGUAGUUGGUCAGUAUUUGAGCAGUAUCAUCUUCUACAAAAAUGAACAGGAUAAUCACUUUAGCCCCCAAAAGAUCUAGCUAUUACAUAUAGACCCCUUUACCUUAUAAUUUUAGAAUGAUAUUACUCUUCUUGACCUAUUUAAAUGCCCCCAAAGUUGCUCGAAUAAAGAAAAAGAUAAUUCCUUCGUUCGGUUUUACUUGUCACAUUUUAACUUGACAUAUUUACUAAAAAAUAAUUAAUAACAUAUAGUUAUUUUACCAUAAUACCCCUAUUAAAUGAUGUUUAUAUUGUAUCUUAAAAUUAAUUUGGAGAAAAGACAAUUAAUGCUAAGGGUAAAAUAGGAAAAAAGUUGUCUUUUCUUGAUAUGUCAAAAAUGAUAAGUAAAAAUAGAAAUACAAUUAGGAAAUUAGGGACAAGUAAAAGCGAACGGUGGGAGUAACACUGAAAACACAUCAAAAAGAUAUACUUCCUUGGUUGUAUUUUAUGCGGUAUAUUUUGAUCGGGCACAAAGUUUAAGAAGGAAUGACAAUUGUCCUUUAUUAAAAAAUAUAUUACUACUAUCUUUAAUUAAAUGCCACUAAUAAGGAUAAAUGUAAAAUUGUAUCUUUAAAUAGUUACCAAAUAAAGGAAUAUGACAUUCUUUUUCGGAUGGACAAAAAGAAAAUGACAACAUAUAAAAUGGGGCAGAUGAAGUAUGUUAAUACUAAAAGGGCAGCUUGAUGUGGCGGUGGAAGUAUGUUAAUACUAAAAGGGCAGCUCGGUGUACUAAAGCUUCGUGCUAUAAGGGACUGCGGAGAAGGGCUGGACUGCAAGAAUUUUAUUGUGCGCAACAUUAUCUUGCAUUUUAGACAGAGGUUGUUUCUAUGACUUGAACUCGUGACUUCCUAAUCACAUGGCAAUAAUUUUAUCAGUUACUCUAAAAAUCCCCUUCAUAUUUUUUUUCGAUUUCAUAAAAAUAUUAAAGAUAUGCAAAAUAUAAAAGAUACGCAUAUAAUUCUUUUUGCAAACCCACUUAUAUGGAGUAAUAAAAACUUAUAAGGUAUCAAAAAUGAUAUAUGCAUGGGAUUUCCCUUUUGAUUAAAGUUUUAAUAGGUUAAUUUCAUGUAUAAUUGUAGACUUUUACUCAUUAAUGACAAAAUUAUUGAACUUUAACUAUUUAAUAAAGUAGUAGAUUUAAUGACAUUAAAAAUCAUUAGAGUUUUUACUAUGUGUUUAGAUAUAUUGAGUACAAGAAGUGAUAGACAUAUCUCAAACUAAAUCAAUCAAUUAGAAAAACAAUUUCUAUUCCAAUGGAGAAGUUCCUCCAUGUUCACCUUUUGAUUUCAAUUAUUUUCUCAAUUUUUCUUGUAACUUUAUGCAAUGAACAUUAUUUUCCAUCCCUUAACACCACUUAUAUUAUGGAAUAUGUCUAUUGAUCCAACAAAGCUUCCCGAUCCUCCGAUUCCAUACUAUACACUCACCAUUUACAAUCUCUAUUUAUUUGAAAAGUCAAAAUUCAAGGACUAUGACUCGUUACUCGGAAAUAGGUUCGCCGGUCGUCAAGCUAGAGCAAAUAAUUUGGCAUCAGUUCUUGAAAAUGGUUAUGCAAUUAGUGGGAAUGGAACUCUUGUAAGGAUACAUGACGAGCAUGAGAGUAAAGUGGCCAACGAAAAGGUUCCGGUAACAACAAGUACACAUUUCAUAUGUCAGUAUGUUGCAUCUUUUACUCUUUUUUUUGGUUUCCCAUCUGGCAUUCGGUGCCUGCAUUGGAGCCCCGACUAAUCCAGAUCACAUGUUGCAGGGCCUAUUAAGGUGGUAGCACUCCCAACAGAAUUUUCUCCAUACCUAGGGCCGAACCCUGGACCUCUGAUUAAGGGUGGAGCUGCCCCAUCCACUGCACUACAACCUAUAUUGGUGAAUUUUUUACUCACUGAACAAUUUAAAAGUUACUUGCUAAUAGACACUGGUAGUGAUUUAGUUUGGUGGCAAUGUGGACCAUGUAACACUACAACAUUUUAGGCUUUUGGACACACUAAUUCUAGACCACACUUCUAAAGUGUGACCGAUAUCAUUAAAGACCACGCUUUUAAAGCGUAUCCUUUGUUUUUAGCUUUUGACCACAUUAAUUUUGACAACACUUUAAAAGCAUGGUCCUUAAUGGUAUAGGCCAUAGUUUACAAGCGUUGACACCAUGAUUUAAUUGGCAAUACGUAUUCACAAAUAUGACUACACUUUUAAAUGUGGUAUUAUUAUAAUUUAAGAGACAAUACUUUUAAAAUAUUGCCUAAGAUUUUUAUUGAAAUAUUUCACUAUUCCACCAAAUUAUUUCACUCUUCUACCCAAAUAUUUCACUCUCCCUCCAAAUAGUUCUAGGGUUACAAGAAAAUACAGAUUAAGGGCAAAAUUAUUUUUGGCCAAAAAUAUGGGUUGCAAGAAAACACAAAUUACGGAUAAAAUUAUUGGUUCCUCAACUCAAAGUCUCAAUUGUUGCAUCUAAGAUAGAGGAAUAAGAUUAAAGACUGUCGUCGGUGAGGAAGAGACAUCCUUACUCCCGUAAGGAGAAGGGGUCGGUGCUUAUCGUCCACCAGAAGGAUAUGUUAAUUUCUUUAUUCAUUUCCCAAUUUAGCUCAUAAUCUUACUGUAUUUUGUAACCAUUUCUUUUGUGGGGUUAUUGAUUUAGUUCAUUGUCUUACUCUGUUUUUGCUUCUUGUUUGCUGUUCUUGUAGCCAUUUCUGUUAUAGGGUUCUUUAUUUAGCUCAUAUAUUACAAUAUUUUUUCUUCUUGUUUGUUGUUCUUGCAGUCAUUUCUGUUGUGGGGUUCUUGAUUUAGUUCAUAUCUUACACAAUCGAAAGAGGCUUUAUAGCUAUUGGUACUGCAGGUGAUGAUUUUUUGAUAAAUAAUAUUUUUUUAAAUUUUAUGCUAAAUUUUUUCAUCUUGAAUAUGUUUUUUUUUUGUCAAUUUCAUUCUAAGUUUAAUGAUCUAUUCUUUAUUGCAUUUGCCGAUGUUUUAGUGCUGAUUUUCCCAUUUGGGGUUGUUUUAUUUUCAGUUAAAUUUCAAUUCUUGAUAUCCUAGUUGGUAGUUUGAGCAUAUUAGAUAUGUGUUUUAUUUUCCAAAUGGUGAAAUUCUAUAUGAUGAACAAACUGAAGAGGUUAUAGGGUUGUUCUUUAUAUCGAGUUGUUCUAUGUUGCUCAGUUUUACAAUUGCUAGCCUAUCUAGUAGCCUGUUUUGUCAUAUCCCUGGGCUAGGUCGUCAUCUAAUUUGGAGCCUUCAACGAUAGCUUGUGUCAUCUACAGGUCUUCACUCUAGUUUAUAUUCUCAGGUCCCUCUCUUAUAUCUCCAUUAUCUAUUACUUGGUUCCUCAUAUUAAGAUUGUAGUUGAAAAGAACAUUUCAUAAUCAAGAGAAUAUCUCUUCAUUUUUUGGAAGAGAUGAUCUAAACACACUAAAAUUAACAAACAAUAAAACUUAGUUUCACAAUCUUGUUUCUCUCAGUAAGUAAUAUGCUCAGAACUUGCGAGGAAGAUUCAUUCUUGGGAUGAUCAAAUAGCGAAAGACAAGGCUUCCCUUGAUGUCUACUCUCUCACACUCCAUCGCAACUUGAAACAAGGAAACACGUCCAAGUUAGUGUAUCUAGUUUUCUUUUUGCUGAAGCGCCUAUUUAAUUCUUGAAAAACAACUUAUACUUCAAGCCUUUACAGUUAAAGAACCAACACUGGUUAUUUCUCCUGGAAUAAAUAUUUGAACGUCAAUGCAAGAAGACUACCUGCAUCUAGAAAUUUAGAAUAUCUUUUGAUGUACGUAUUGACUUGGAUUAUAAGUUGGCAUCAAAUCCUAUUUUUUAUGUGCAGUGUCGUAGAAGCAAAAAAUAUGAAAUCUCAUGCCUUGUCCUCUUACUCCAUCUCAGUAUCAGGAUUGAGAUUCCCUUCGUAUAUCAGCUGUGAUGAAAAAAAUAUAGGUAAAACAUAAAGGAGUUUUAAAUUUAGUAGUCGAGUCUGUUUCAAAAUAAUUGCUAAUAUAACAAUUAUUGUUGCCUUAUUGUGUUCCAAUUUCAUCCUCCGAUAUUGUUCUUGUGUUUACUUUGAUCGAAACAUGGAUUGAACUCGCACAACAAAUCUUUCGAUACACUCUUCAGCUUUUUUCCUACUGGCUUGGAAGAAAUCCUCCUCCAUAUCAUCGGGUUUGUGAUUAACUACUUGACUAGACAGGAGUUGAAGCUCAUGAAGCCUUUUUUCUUCAAACACCAAUGAAAUAUUGCCUUUUCAAGCACCCUGACCAAAUUAUCUCCAGGUAAUGCCUUCGGACAUGGAAACCACUGAACACAGCCCGCAUGACCAGAGGCAGGUUCCAUUAAUAAUGGAUCAUGUUAUUCUGUCAGUUUUAUGGAAAAGUCAAAGAGUAAUUAGGAAAACUUGCUAAGUUAUCAUUCUUGUAAGAACUUCUCAAUCAUAUUAAUUCAUGUUUGUUGUAGAUGUAUAUCAUUAAUUCUUUUAGUUCCAUGUCAAUUCAUUUACACAGCAGUUAACUCAAAUAAUUUCACCGGUGAGAUCCCACCAAUUCAUGAUAAUCUGUCAAAACUCUACUGGCUUGAUCUAGCAGAUAAUCAGUUAAUCGGAUCGAUUCCCGUUUUAACCUCCUCAAGUUCGGGAUUGUAUCUUCUGAAGAAAGAAGAACACUUGCGAGUAAACUUUAUCUAUUCGUAUUACAUGCUAUCCUUUUCAACUGAUAGGAAAUCAAAUAAAUGUUGUUUUCCAAUAAUGAUGUAGCUGCUUGAUGGAAAUUGUACAUUAGUUGGUGUUAUGCAAAUAACUUUUGUUCAUAUUACUCCAAUGUGGUUAACUGGUAUCGUCACUGUUGCAGAUAUAUUAAAAUUGUAUUUUUCAUCUGUGUUCUUGUUACUUUGAGCUUUAAAAAUAUUCUGUAGUACUUUUCUUUUGGUGCACCUGUGUAGUUUCUUUUUGUAUAGACUAUGGAGGAUAGGGUGUCCUUUUGUAUGAAGCUCAGAAACACCCUCUAUACCUCCAUGGAUUGAUGCUCUUCGGUCCCAAGUUGUAGCUGCUAACGUUAAAUUGCUUGCAUUGUAUGGUGUAAUCCCCCUACUUCUCAAUUGACAUUAACAUAUAAAAUCUCCUCAUUUUUAAGCUCGUAAAGUAACAAGAGUAAGUUAAAUAAUUCGUGCAAGAAUAUCAACACACAUUCACACUUUGUUGACAUUCUAUAUACACUUUUUUAAACAUCAAAUUAAGUUGCUUUGGUUUCUUUUUUCCUCCAAGCCUGUGCAGCAAAUAUUAUAGCUUUUCUUUAAAGAAAAUAUCAAAGAAAGGGAAGCUAGCAUUUUAUAAUUAACAUUAGUAUAUUAGCGUUUCAGAAUAGUGAAAUAACACGUAGUAAUAGACUUUGAACCAAUUUGAUAGAUGAGCACUUUGGUACGUUAUUCAAUUUCAAAAGUCAAAUAUUUGUUAAUGAACUUAAUAUUUAGCAUCUCACAAUGUGUUGUACUUUAUCAAAAAUAUUAUUACAAUUAUGAAAUAAGUUCCAAAUUGGCAGUAAAUGAAAUCCCUUCAUGAUUUUUGACAGGUUUAAAAAAUCCAAUUAGUAAUAGAAUUUCUAGAAACAUUUCGUCGGCGUAAGUUAGGUUUCUCUUCACAGCUUACUGUCUUGCAGGUUCUAGUGCAACAUGUUCGUGGACUUCCUCUUUUUUGCAAAGACAAACCCGAGCAUCUUUCAAAAAUUGUUUAAAUACUUGUAUAACUCUUGACUUCUGGUAUAGAAAUCUCUUAGUCUUUCCAUCAAGAAAUGUUGAUUAUGAGAAAGGAUAUGUGAUCUUGACUUCUUUUUCUGCUUUUACAGUGGAAAAUAUGGCACGUGAUACAGUAAACAAAGCCCUUUUGUCCUUGUUAAGGCAAGACAUAAAAGGUUUGUUGAUUCUUUCCUAAUGACAUUGAGACCAUACACAUAGGAACUAUCUAUAAAUAUAUUCAUCUUAAAUUGAGUUAAGAAAUUAAAUUACUGAACUGAUCAAACUGCUAUUUCUUUCCUCUUCUGGAAGCUAUUUAAUGUUUCCUAGUAUCACUCUCUAAGAAAAAAGGUAGAACGAUAGAUACAUUAAAACCUAGUUAAGACAAGAAGCUCAUCCCUCGUGGGUCACCUAACAUGUUUCAUUACCUACAUUGGAUAAAUCAGCAAAUUUAUUAAUGCAGUGCACAUUUUAUCUUGCAUUUGAUGCACCGUUAUGCAUUAGCAAGCAUGCUCUUUUGUUCAAUGCCUGGCAGCUGUAUACCAGGGUUUUGCAGUAAUUGAUAUGCCAUAUUAAAAUACCUCUUCUUAUUUCAAUUAUCUGAAGUAGGAAUUAUGCUAAUCAAAUCCUUUUAGGACAAUAUUCUAUUGUCCCAAUUUAUAAUCAACUUUAACAAGAGCUCAAGUGUAGCUAUGUGGAUAUAUCAACUACAGAAAAAUAUUUAUACUUUAGUAUGACACUGCUGAAGGACGUGGUGCACAUUUGUGCUUUCAAAAGAAGGAAGAGAAGAUGUCCCAUAAAAUGUAGGCAUGUAGUUAUAUGGGUACUUUCGAUAGAAAUAAAUAAGAGAAAAUUUGAAGGACUAAAGAAUGAUUUUUUAAUUUAAUAUUCUACAAAGAAAAGGGGCUACCCUGAGAAACAGAAAAUCAGUUGGAACAAAAACUAAGUAGAAAAGAAAAUUAGAGACACAAUAACUCACCAGAUUACGGAGCGAAAAGAGGAAGAACAGGUAAGAUAAAUGAAAAGUGCUUGCGAAAAACAUAAAAGUGAAGCACCUUAUAUAUGGCAUUCAGCUGUGCAUGCAUCUUUUCUUGGAUUGGAACUAGUGGUGAUAUUGAUCCAUUACCAUGAUAUGUUCAUUCUUUUUCUGUUGUUUCACUUGUGUCUCUAUGUUACCUGUAGGGUGGGAUUCAUUACUGUGAUCUUGAUCCAUUACUGUGAUAUGUUCAUUCUUUUCCUAUUGUUUCACCUAUGUCUCCAUGUUACCUUCCAUAUUCUCCUUGUCAACUACUUGAGAGAAAUAUCUUAAUUUGGUGUGCACAGAGAUAGAAGAACGUCCAGCCUCUAAAUAUAUAGUUUAAGCAAGUAGUGACCAAUAUACAGCUUAAAAUUUUGAUGUGUGUUGAAACCAUUCUUCAGAUUUGAGCAAUUGUGGAUGAUAAACUAAGAGGAUGACUUGUUUUAUUGCAUCAGUAGAUUACUACUUAGUCUAAGUGGAAAAAGCAACCUUGUUUCGUUGCAUCAAUAGAAAACUACUAAGUAAAGUUGACUAGUCCUUUCAACCGAGCUGAAUAUGCAUAUAGAUAGAAGAAAAGGUAUUGACCAUUGGCUACAACACCACUUGACUGGAGUUGUUUCACUGGAUUUGUUGAUGCAGUUGUAUUGACGCAUAGUGAAUUCCGGAAUCUAUCAUGUUAAGAGCGAUUUAUGUAUUGGCAAUGUGAUAUUUAAAGCUUUGUUCAAUGGUAUUUAUGGUCUUUUUUGGGGACGUAUGCUCCUAUUUGGUAGAAAAGGACAUUCUAGGGAUGCAAAUAUUUUUUAGGGUUGUUCCUUAUGUAUUAUUAGUAAGAGAGAACCUUAACAGAGCAAUAGGAUAACACUAUUACCCUCUCUAUUUUAGAAUGGAUUCCCGAGUCUUGAGGAACUGAAAUAAUCUGCUUUGACUUUAGGAGCCUGAUUCAUUCCUAGGAGUAUUAUUGGUAAGAAAGUUCAUUAUUUUUGCCUUGGGACUGAGGGUCUUUCUUUUGAAAUAUAUCUUAUAUAUACUGCAUUAUUUCUUCUCCAGAUAGAUAUUGUUUUAAUUUUUUUACAGUCUAAACUAGAGAAUCAUCACAAUGCUGGGAAAACACCAGAUGAUGCAUUCACGGCAGUGUUUGGAAAGGAUAAACCUGGUCGAGUUAGAGGUUAUGGAAGAUCAGUGACAACAACUUCUCUAAAAGAAGAUGAGGAAAUGAAAAAGCUUAAACAAAAGCAUGCUAAUGAAGUCACUUCUAUGAAGAAGAAAUUAUAAGUGAAAUGAGAGAAAUGCGACAAGUUUUUUAGUCAAUUGGUGCAAAACAAUCCUGGAUUGAAUUUUCAAGAUAUACUAGGGAGUGUAAAAUUUCUUCACCUGAUGCGAGUAAUGCACAAGCUAUAAGAGAAAAAAUUCUUUCAAAUUAUUUUGGCUUAGCUCAUGCUUCGGUUCAUGAAAAGGUACUUUAUCUUAGAAAUUCACAAGAAAUUUAAAUCCUAAACUUUUAACUUUAUUGAAUGAAUUAAAGAAACUUUGGAUUCACAUAUUUCCUCAUAUCAAGAUUGAAAAAAUAUUUGUAUAUUUGUGAGCAUAAUUUUACUUCGUUUGUUUCAGUUUGAACGUAGGAUCAAUGCGGGGGAUCAAAUUUGAAUGGUGGGCGCCACAACUCAACUUGAUCGAGAUUGAAGUGAAUGAUGAAGAAUUUUGAAAUAUUUUGAUAUACGUUUAUAUACAUUUGGUUUUGUGUGGAAGUUGAUACAAUUUUUAUUAUGUUGUUUUCAUUAGUAUGUAAAAGACAUGUUUUUUUAAAUCAAAUCUAUGCACUUCAAUUAUUCAUUAGGUUAUUAGUGCAUGCGUGAGAUUGUAUAUAAAUAUGUAUUUUUAUGUAAUGUGCUUAGUGAUACAUACAUUUCGAUCAAAAUAAUUGUUUUUUAAUUAGAGAUUACGUACGAACAUUUUAUAUGCCUAAUGCCAUUUUAGUAAAAUGUGGUUUGAAAUGUCAAAUUUUAGGCAAUAUUGCUACACUUCAAAAGUGUUGCUAAAACAUGCUUACACUUUAUAAGUGUUGUCAUAGAGGAUAUAUAAAAGGCUAUUUUUUUGAAGUGUGGCUAGUAAUAAAGAAAAGGCCACGUUUUUUAAGUGUUGUUAUAGAGGUGCUACAAAAGCGUACGCUUGUGAAGCGUGCCCAAUAGUAAAACAAAGACAACGUUUUGUAAGUGUUAUUAUAGAGGUGCUACAAAAGGCUACGCUUGUGAAGCAAGCCCAAUAGCAAAACAAAUGCAACACUUGUAAGUAGCUUUAUCAAAUAAAAGUGUUGCCAAUGACAAGCUACAAAUCAUGGCCUUUGUACCUUAAUGGCCACGCUUUUUAAAUGUAGCUGAUAUGGCAACACUUGAAAAACAUGGCCUUUGAUCAAAGGUUACACCUCUUUAAGCCACCCCCUAAAAAGUGUUGCCUAAAGUCUGAAAGUGUAGCCUUUGAUCAAAGGCCACACUUCCUACUAUUUUAGGCCACGUUUUACAAGUGUGGCCUUAGGCCAAAAACGUUGUAGUAUAAUGCAAAUGUAUGUUACAAACAGAUAAAUAAUCCUUUAUAUGUUUCAACUAAUUCAAAAACAUAUCGAAAGCUCGAUUGCCUUGUAGAAAGUAGAAACUGUGAAAUCACGAAUAAGGAAUAUGAUUGUAGUAGUAUGGUAAUACGUGUCUGUAUGAUUACAAAUACGUCAAUGGAUCAAGAACAAGAGGCUGGAUUGCACACGACGUGAUUACUUUUGUUUUAGCCCGAAAGCAGGUAAGCAUUGUUUUUGGAUGUGGCAAAAAUCAAACUCAUGGAAAGCCUUUUAGUGGUCAAUUUUCUGGAAUUGCGGGCCCCGGACGUAAUCGGUGGUGGCAAUUAUUUUGCAUCACAAUUUGAAGUAGACAUAAUGUCCAUGUGCCUACCGGGAGCUCUCUCAACAAAAGGAUCAACACUAUUACAAGAUUUCAGAUUCCCUUCCAUUUACUUUGUCAACCUUUAUAAAGUUUUUAUUAACGAUAGGGAAGUCCCGUUGUUCCCAUCAUUGUCUAGGAAAUUCAGAACUUAUGCCACGAGUGAUAGCUGCAUCGUGGACAAAGGAACAUUUACUACCCGUUUUCCUCAUGAAUUUUAUAUUGUAUUUUGUUACACAUUCAGAUAAAAAGUAUGUGGUAUUCCUAUGGUUAAUGUUCCACCUGGAUCAGUUUAUGGCACAUGCUAUAAAGUUCAUACGACUAGUCUGGAUCCACAUUUCCCCGUUGUGACCAACCAAAUGGCCCCUUCAACCCCAACAACCCGCACUCCCUUUUGCCUCAGCCUGCCUGGGAGCACUUGGUCAAUUUUCUGCCCAUAACAUACUUGUUCACUGGGCCCACCCCCAGAACUGUGAGCUAUAACACACUGAUUUAGCCCAAGAAUGGCCCAUUUGGGUUGUUUCACUUGUUUAACCACCCAAAUAGCCUAGCUAACCCCAAUGACCCACACUAUCCCACUUUUGAGCCUACCUUGGUGCCUCUGAUCGAUUUUAAGACCAAAACACGCUCGAGCCCCAAGCCAACCCCUAAAACCAUGAGUUAUAGCAUGUCUAUUUGGCCCCAAAAAUAGCAUGUUUUGACAUUUUGUCUGUUUGAUCACCCAAAUGGCCCCGCCGACCCAAACGACCCACUAUCCCGUUCAUCAAUCUACUUGGAAGACUUGAUCGAUUUUCAACCAAAAACACUCCCGAACCCCGGGCCCACCCAGAACUGUGAGCUAUAGCACACCGAUUAUGCCUUAAAAUGACCCAUUCGCGUUGAUAUUGCUGUUUGACCACCCAAAAAACCCUGUUGACCCGUGCGACCAAUACUUCCCCGCUCUUCACCUUACCUGAGAUCCCUCAAUUAAUUUUUUACCCAAAACAUGCCCUGGACCAGCCCAAAAUCAUGAGCUAUAGCUCACUAAUUUGGCCCAAAAAUGGCUCGGUUGCGCCGUUUUGCUCGUUUGACCAACCAAAUAGUCCCGCCGACCUCAAUGACCCAUAAUUCCCCGCUCCUCGUCCUUCUUAGGAGCCCUCAAUAGAUUUUUAAUCCAAAACAUGCUUGGGCCCUAGGAUAACCCCUAGAAUUGUGAGCUAUAACACACCGAUUUGGCCCAAAAAUAGCCCGUUCGCAUCAUUUUGCCUAUUUAAUAACCCAAAUGGCCCCGCCGACCCCAACGGCCCACACUCCCUAAUUUUCAGCCUACCUGGGAGCCGCGAUCAAUUUUCAGUCAAAAAAAUUCAUGGGCCUUGGGAACACCCUCUUAACCGUGAGGUAUAACACCCCAAUUUUGCCAAAACAUAGCCCAUUCGCACUGUUUUAUCCGUUUGAUCACACAAAUGGCCCAUCGCCACCCAAUGGUCCAUACUCUUCUGCUUAUUAGCCUGCCUAGGAUCCUCUGGUCUAUUUUCAGCCUAAAACAAGCCUACGCCCUGGGCCCACGCCCGGAAUCGUGAGGUAUAACAUACUAAUUUAGCCCAAAAAUGGCCCGUUUAUGCUGAUUCACCCUUUUGACCCCCCAAAAGGCCCCGUCGACCCCAGCCACCCACACUCUCCUGCUUUUCAGCCUGCCUGAAAGCCCCCAAUAAAUUUUUGACCCAAACCACGCCCGUUCCCUUCACUCAACUUCAAAAUCAUGGCUACACCACACCGAUUUUUCUCAGAAAUGGUCCGUUCGCGCCCUUUUGCCUAUUUGACCAACCAAAUAGCCCUACCGACCACCGCCGACCCCAACGACCCAUACACCCCUAUUCCACAGUAUGCCUGGGAUCCUUUGGUCAAUUUUCAGCCUAAAACAUGUCUGGGCGCCAGGAUCACCUCUGAAACCGUGAGCUAUAGCACACCAAUUUGGCUAAAAAAUGGUUCGUUUGUGCUGUUUCACUCGGUUUACCACUCAAAUGUCCCCGCCAACCCCAACGAGCCACACUUCCCUGCUUCUCAGCCUACCUAAGAUCCUCGAUUAAUUUUUUUCCCAAAACAUGCCCGAGCCCUAGGCCUACUCUCAAAACUAUGAGCUAUAACACAUCGAUUUGGCCUAAAAAUGCUUUAUUUGCACCAUUCAGCUCGUUUGACCACUCAUACAGCCUCAUUGAACCCAAUGACCCACAUUUUCCCACUCUUCUUCCUGUCUGGGAGCCCCUGAGCAAAUUUUGAUCUAAAAUAGGCUCGAGCCCCAAGUGCACCUUCAAAACUGUGAGCUAUAGCUUACUGAUUUAGCCAGCAAAUUACUCGUUAGUGCCGUUUCGCCUAUUUGACCACCCAAACAGCCCUGUUGACCCCAAUAGAUGAUACUCUCUCACUUCUCAUCCUGUCUGGGAGCCCUCUCUUCAUUUUUGAUCCAAAACACGUCUGGGCCUUGGGCCCACCCCAAGAAUCGUCAGCUAUGACACACUGAUUUGGCUUGAAAAUGGUCUGUUCGCAUUGUUUAGCCUGUUUGACCACCCAAACAGCCCUGCCGACUCCAACGACCCACUCUCUCCCACUUCUCAGCCUGCCUGGGAUCCCUCAAUUUAUUUUCAAUCCAAAACAUUUUUGGGUCCCAAGCCCACCCCCAAAAUCGUGAGAUAUAACACGAUGAUUUGGCCAAAAAAUGGUCUAUUUUCCGUCAUUUCAUCUCGUUUGACCACCCAAACGGUCCCUCCAACCCAUAAGGUCCAUACUCCCUCGCUCUUCAGCCUUUUUGGGAGCCUACAGUCCAUUUUCAGCCCAAAACCCGCUUAGACCCUGGGCCUAACUCCAAAACCAUGAGUUAUAGCACGCCGAUGCACAAGGAUUUCGUUAUGUGUUCAGUCCCGCUUAUAUUUCUUCGGCCUACCUCUACCCCACCUAAAACCAUCCAUAACCAGUAUUUCACACCUCUACACUGAAGAAUCAGAGCCCCUAUUCAUCACAUGGCCAAACAAAUGUAACCUCACAUCUCAUAUGUUGUCCUCCACCGAAGCAACUCUCACCUUCUCUAGAAUAAUUUCAUUCCUUACCUUAUCUUUCUUGGUAUGUCCACACAUCCAUCGCAAUAUUCUUAUCUCUCCCACCUUCAAUUUUUAGAUAUGGGAGUUCUUAACUGGCCAACACACCGCUACGUACAACAUAGCCGGCCGGACUACCACUCUGUUGAACUUACCUUUAAGUUUCGAGGGCACCUUCUAAACACAUAGAACUCCUGAAGCGAGCCUUCUUUUCAGCCACCCUGCCCCAAUAUGAUACGUUAUAUCUUCGUUAAUCUCAUCAUUGCCCUGAAUCAUAGACUCUAGAUACUUGAAACUCUCCCUCUUAUGAAUGUCUUGAGAGUCCAUCUUCACAACCACUCCAGCCUCCUUCGACACAUCAAUGAACUUAUACUCCAAGUACUCUGUCUUGGUUCUAUUUAAUCAAAAUCCUUUAGACUGAAGCGUCUGUCUCCAAAUGUCCAACUUAUCAUUAACUUCUCUCCGAGUCUCAUCAAUCGGUACCACAUCAUCUGCAAAUAACAUACACCAAGGCACCUUUUUCUUGAAUAUGUCACGUCAAAACAUCCAUCACCAAGGCAAAUAAAAAUGGGCUAAAAGUCUAUCUCUUGUGCAACACUAUCAAAACUGGGAAGUUCUCCGAAUCUCCAUCUACCAUCCUCACACGAGUCUAAUUCCUAUCAUCCAUAUCCUGAAUCAACCUAGUGUAUGCCACAGGCCUCCCCCUAGCCUCUAAGCACCUCCAUAGAAUCUACGUGGAAACUCUGUUAUAUGUCUUCUCAAGAUCAAUAAACACCAUGUGCAAGUCCUUCUUCCUCUCCCAACACUACUCCACUAAUCUCCUCACAAGGUGAAUGGUCUUAGUGGUCGAGCGCCCUGGCAUGAAACAGAUUCUCAGAGAUCGUCACGAUCCUUAUCAUCCUUAACUUUACCACCCUUUUCCAAACCUUCAUAGUAUGAGUCAAUAACUUAAUACCUCUAUAGUUGUUGCAACUCUGGAUGUCUCUUUUGUUCUUAUACACUAGAAUCGUAGUACUCUACCUCCAUGCUUCAGGCAUCUUCGUCGCCCAAAAAAUACUAUUGAAUAACCUUGUCAACCACUCUAAACCUACGCCGCUAGUGCUCUUCCAAAAAUCCACUAGAAUCUCGUUUGUCCCCAUUCCCCUACCCCGCUGCAUCCUACGAAUAGCUCCCUUGACCUUCCCAACCUUGAUAUGCCUACGAUAACCAUAAUCGCGACACUCCUAAGAUUUCUUCAAUUGCAUUUCAAACACUAAAAGUACUUACUUUAUCAAUUACAGAACUUCUAAUUUCAAAUCUUAAAUUUCAUUUAGUCUCAAUUCAAAGUUAAGUGCAUAAAAUUUAUUAGUUUAUUUUAAAUUUUCAAAUAUUAUUCUAUUGCUCAUUAUUUUUACAAUCAUCAAUUUUAUGAUUAAUAUCUUUAAUUAUUUUAUUUAUACCUCUUAUUGUAUCUGCUAAGUUAAUUUAAUUAAGAUCUCUCAAAUCACUCUCAAAAUCACCAUCCCACCAAAUACUACACCCACCUCCUAGCCUUACCCUACAGCCACCACCCCACCUCCCUAGUUUUUAUUAUAUUUUACUUUAUCAGAUUUUUUGUAAAAUAUUUUUCUCACAUCACCCACCUCUUAUCCCCAAGCCACCCUCCACCAACAAAACAAUAUUUUAUUUUUGUUUAAAAUAAAAUUUUAUAUUGCACCCACCCCUACUCCCCAAUACCUAUUUGACACCCUACCUAAUACACAUACAAAAAAAAUUAUUUUUCACUUUUUUAUAAAAAACAAUCUUUCCACCCUUCUGUCCUGACUCCCAAGAAAAAUAAUUUUUUUUGUCUUUUAAGAAUCUUUUUUUCUACUCCACAACUCUAACCCCUACCUACACCACCACCCCGCCUACCCCACCUACCUAGCUCAUCCCUACCCCUUCUCAACCACCAUAAUCUCUUGUUAUUCCCCUCAUCCAUCACUUUUCCUCAAUGCAAUUUAUAAUUUUAUGUUAAGUACACACAAAUGCUAUUAGAAAAUAUCUUCUAUUUAUUAAUAAAAUAUCAAUUAUCAAUUUAUUUUAGCAUACAUGCUAUUACUAAUAUCAAAUAAUCACAUCAAAUAAAAUUAUCUAAGAAAAGAUUAACCAAGAGCUAUAGCCGAGAAGAGAGUCUCUCAACUUUCUUUGGAUACUUCAGAAGACUUUGCUGCUAUGGAGGCAUUAGUGGUACAUUUUAUUAUUUUUUAGUUAUCAAAAAAACCCUACCUUCUAGAUCCCAUGAUAAAAGAUGAGGUAUAUGAUAUUGGACUCCCAUCUCAAUCAGUAGGAAAGGGCCCAAAAUCUCUCACCUUUUCUUUUAUGAUGAUCUAACUCUGUGUGCUGUUGCGAAUGAAAGAAACUGUGAAACUAUCCGAGCCACACUUAGGAGCUUCACCUUCCACCCUGUCCUAAAAAUUAACACUCUCAAAGCUAAAGUAAUCUUCUCUAGAAACUGUGCUCAGGUGACCAAAGAUAGUUUAUCACACAUCUUAGGCAUCAAAUCCAAAGACAAGUUUAGCAAAUAUCAUGGUUUUCCCAUCUUCCACAAAAAACCUUGCAAUAGAGAUUUCUAAUUUAUCCUAGACAAUCUCAACACUAAGUUUGCUGGAUGGAAAACCAAAUUCCUCAAUAUGGCUGGAAGAACAACCCUUACCAAGUCCUCCCUUUCUAGUAUUCCCGCUCAUGUCAUGUAAUUCAUCUUGAUCCCCUCUAAAAUCCACUAAUUGAUUGAAAGAACCAAAAAGAACUUUUUCUGGGGCACCACCCCUAAUAAUAAGAAAGUACAUCUAAUCAAUUGGGAAACCUUGACUAAUUCUAAAGCUAAUGGGGGCCUGGGCCUCCAGAAAGCUUCUAUUAGGAACAACACUAUGUUAUCCAGUCUAGCCUGGAGACUUUACAAGCAUCCCAAUAGUCUCUGGGAAAAAAUUCUUUAAAAUAAAUUAGCCCCUAUGGUAUAUCCCUUAAAGUCGACAACUUUAGAACUUGGAAAAGUGUCCUUGUGAGUUGGGAAAUUUGUAAAACUGCCUCCUCUUAGAACAUCCAUAAGGAUGACAAGAUCAAUUUCUAGAAGGACAGAUGGAUGCCUCACUGUGAACUCCUUCUGUCAAUCAUCCAAGCCCUUCUUCCUUAUGAUUCCCAAGACAUUAACUCUCUGGGGUGUAGAAGAAUUGCUCCUGUAACCUCAAGGAUCUUCCGAUUGAAAUCCCUGAGGAUCUCAUUAAAACUUUCACCAACUUUGUUUUCCCCAAUCCCAGAGCAUAUACUAAUGAGCUCAUUUGGAAUCUCAUUUGUAAUUGUUUGUUCUCCAGUAGAACUGCUUAUAAUCAUAUAGCCAAAAACUCUGAGAUCAAUUACUCCUCUAAUUUCAACUAGAUAUGGAAGGAUAAAUCCCCUAAAAAGUCAAAACCUUUCUUUGGCUAAGCCUGUAUGAUAGGUUCCCCAAUAACCUCAACCUGUCCGUGAGAGGAGUGAGACAAAAUACUAGUUGUGCUAUCUGCAAUCAAAACCAGGAAGACAAAUCCCACAUUUUCUUUAAGUGUCCCAUCCUCAAAGAUUUUGGAGUGAAAAUUAUCCACAAGAUGACCCAGUCCAAACAACCUCCUAUUACCAGUCUCCUACUCUCUUACUGGCACACUAUCUGGAGAUCUCUUCAACACUCCUAAUUCAACAAACUAAUCCACUGGCAUGACAUCAUUCUUUUCAGCCUCUAGACAAUCUGGAACACCAGGAACACUAAUACCUUCAAUAACAAAAGGGACCAUCCCAAUUUUAACCAUGCUUACUCCCAAACUGUUGAGUAUAAACAUCUUACUCAAAAGAAUACCCCAAUCAAGCAAAACCAAAUCAUCAACGUUAAGUGGAAUCCUCCCACCAGCCACACCUUCAAGCUCAAUACUGAUAAUUCUUGCCUUAGAAACCUCAGGAAAGGUGGAAUAGGAGGGGUAGUUAGAUCCAGUAAUGGAGGCUAAGUGUUAGGUUUUAACAAAAACUUUCACCGGACUACCAACAACAUGAUAGAACUUAUGGAUCUCAUUGAAGGACUAAAACUGGUAGAGCAAGCUAAUCUUCUCCCUAUUGAAAUUAACAUUGAUUCCUUGGAAGUUAUAUCAAUGUUAACUAACGGGAACCUUCACUAUGAUACUUUGAUUUUGGAAUGCAGGUUAAAAUUAAAAAGGCUAAGGAAUCUGAAAGUUAAGCACUGUUAUAGAGAACAAAAUGGAGUGGUGGAUGCUCUGGCAAAAGAUGGAGCAAGGGCAAGCGGUUUUCAGGAGACUACCCUUUUUGAAGUUCCACCGAUAUGUGCAAAAGAUGCAGUUUGAGCAGACAUCUAAAAAACUUUUUGAGAGAAUAAUUAGCUCUUGCACUGAUGAUUUUAACUAGCCAGGCCAGAACUAUUCCUUUUUAAACCUUGACUAAUCGUCAAAAUUGAAACUUAAACUGCGUUCUCUUUUAUAUUAAUGCAUGUCCUUUCUACCAAAAAAAAUAAUAUUAUUUUGCAUAUUGAAUCAUCGAAAAGAAGAGAUAUUUAUAUCAAUUUAAAUUGAUGGACCUUGAACAUUCACAAAGAAAGAUAAAUUGAAAAAGUUAUAUCAUCCCAGCAUAUCGAAAGAAUGUUAUCAAAUCAAGAAUUAUUUUUUAAAAUGAAAAAUUAAAAAAUGCAGUAAAUAAAUUCACGAAUAAAGCUAAUGAUAGAGAGGUAUAUGUAAGAAAAGCUAAGUGAUAGAAUUUCAUUUAGAUACAAAUUCAUAUAUCACAUAUGUUUAUUAAAAUAAGAUUAAUUUAUUAUUCUUCCUUAUCCUUAUCCUAACAUUUUUCAAAUACAAUAUAUAUUUAAAAUUAAUAUAGAUUUGAGUUGAGAUAACUAUUGAAAUCAAUGAGACAAUACUAAUACUAAUACUAAUACUAAUACUAAUACUAAUACUAAUACUAAUAACAAUAACAACAUUUUAACUAUUUUUACUUUACCACUAUUAGAUUGCACUACUAUUACUAUUACUAUUAUUAUUUGUUCAUUGUUAUUUGAGAUAAAUAUUAAGAUACAUCGUGUAGCUAAAAAAAAACAUUGUGUUCCAUGAUUACUAAUUAAGUACAUCUAAAUUAUAAGUUUAUCUUUGAAAGUAUGUUUUAUUUCCAAUUUAAAUUAAAAAAAAAAUUAUAGAAUAACCAAUAUCUUAGAUGAGCGGUUAAAACCGUCAAUAUAGGUUAGGAUCGUUGGGAUGGCCCGGCCCAGCCUGUAAUUUGAUAGGGCUGGGCAACAAUUUUUAUAGCCCAUUUAAGAAUAGGGCUUUUUAGCCCUUCAUGAAUAAAUCUAUUGACCAGUCGGCUUGAGCAAUAUGGGUUUGGGUGACCCGUGGGUCAAAUAAAAAUAAUUAAAAAAUAAAAUAUAGUACUAAAAUUAUAUUUAAAUAUUAAUUAUAUUUAUAAAAUAUAUAAAUAAUUAACCCAAAAAUAGCCCGUUUAUGCCGAUUCACCCUUUUGACCCCCCAAACGGCCCUGUCAAUCCCAACUACCCUCACUUCCCCGCUCCUCAGCCUUCCCGAGAGCCCCCGAUCAAUUUUCGAUACAAACCACGCCCGGUCCCUUCACUCACCUUCAAAAUUGUGGGCUAUAUCACACCGAUUUUUCUCAGAAAUAAUCCGUUUGUGCCCUUUUUACUAUUUGACCAACCAAAUAGCCCUACCGACCACCACCGACCCCAACGACCUAUACACCUCUGUUCCACAGCAUGCCUGGGAGCCUCUGGUAAAUUUUUAUCCUAAAACAUGCCUGGGCGCUGGGGUCACCUCCGAAACUGUGAGCUAUAGCACACCAAUUUGGACAGAAAAUGGUUCAUUCAUGUCGUAUCACUCGUUUUACCACUCAAAUGGCCUCAUCGACCCUAACGACCCAUACUAUCCCACUCUUCAGACUGCCUAGGACCCCCGAUUAAUGUUUUACCAAAAAUAUGCCCAAUCCCUAGGCCCACUCUCAAAACUAUGAUCUAUAACGUAUCGAUUUGGCCUAAAAAUGCAUCAUUCGCGCCAUUCAGCCCGUUUGACAACUCAAACAGCCCUGUUGAACCCAAUGACCUAUAUUCUCCCACUUCUCUUCCUGCCUGGGAGUCGCCGAUCAAUUUUUGAACUAAAACAAGCUUGAACCCCAAGCCCACCUUCAAAACCGUGAGUUAUAGCUUACCGAUUUGCCAUAAAAUUACCUAUUCAUGCUAUUUCGCCUCUUUGACCACCCAAACAGCCCUAUUGACCCCAAAAGACCACACUCUCUCUCUUAUCAGCCUGUCUGGGAACCCUCACUUGAUAUUUGAUCCAAAACACGUCUAGGCCUCAGUCCCACCCAAGAAUCAUGAGCUAUAACACAUUGAUUUGGCUUGAAAAUGGUCUGUUCGCUUCAUUUAGCCCGUUUGACUACCCAAAUGGCCCCGCCGACCCUAAUGACCCACUUUUCCUCGCUUAUCAACCUGCCUGGGAUCCCUUGAUUGAUUUUCAGUCCAAAACAUUUUCGAGUCCCGAGCCCACCCCCAAAAUCGUGAGCUAUAACACACUGAUUUGGCCCAAAAAUGGUCUAUUUGUGUUGUUUCAUCUCGUUUGACCACACAAACAGCCCAGCCGACCCAAAAGUUCCACACUCCCUCGCUCUUCAGCUUGCCUGGGAGCCCCCAGUCCAUUUUUGGCCCCAAAUAUGCUCGGACCCUGGGUCUACCUCCAAAACCGUGACUUAUAGCACAACGAUGAACUUGGAUUUCGUUAUGUGUUCGGUCCCGCUCAUAUUUCUUCGGUCUACCUUUACCCCGCCUAAAACCAUCCAUAACCAGUAUUUCACACCUCUGCACUGAAGAAUCAUAGCCCCUCUUCAUCACGUGGCCAAACCAACGUAACCUCAUAUUUCGCAUCUUGUCCUCCACCGAAGCAACUGUCACCUUCUCUCGAAUAAUUUCAUUCCUCACCUUAUCUUUCCUGGUAUGUCCACAUAUCCAUCGCAAUAUUCUUAUCUCCUCCACCUUUAAUUUUUAGAUGUGAGAGUUCUUAACUGGCCAACACAUCGCUACGUACAUCAUAGCCGGCCGGACUGCCACUUUGUAGAACUUACCUUUAAGUUUUGAGGGCACCUUCUAAUCACAUAGAACUCCCGAAGACAGCCUUCAUUUCAACCACCCUGCCCCAAUAUAAUGCGUUACAUCCUCGUUAGUCUCAUCAUUGCCCUAAAUCAUAGACUCUAGAUACUUGAAACUCUCCCUCUUAUGAAUGGCCUAAGAGUCCAUCUUCACAACCACUCCAGCCUCCUGCGACACAUCACUGAACUUAUACUUCAAGUACUCUGUCUUGGUUCUACUUCAUCGAAAUCCUUUAGCCUCAAGCGUCUGUCUACAAAUCUCCAACUUAUCAUUAACUUCACUCCGAGUCUCAUCAUCAUCUACAAAUAACAUACACCAAGGAACCUUUUUCUUGAAUAUGUCACAUCAAAACAUCCAUAACCAAGGCAAACAAAAAUGGGCUAAGAGUCUAUCCCGGGUGCAACCCUAUCAAAACAGGAAAGUUCCUUGAGUUUCCACCUACCGUCCUCACACGAGUCUAAUCCCCAUCAUCCAUAUCCUGAAUCAACCUAGUGUACGCCACGGGCCUCCCCCUAGCCUCUAAGCACCUCUACAGAAUCUUCCCGGAAACUCUGUCGUAUUCAUUCUCAUGAUCAAUAAACACCAUGUGCAAGUCUUUCUUCCUCUCCCAAAACUGCUCCACUAAUCUCCUCACAAGGUGAAUGGCUUCAGUGGUCAAGCGCCCUAGCAUGUAACCGAACUGAUUCUCAGAGAUCGUCACGAUCCUUAUCAUCCUCAACUUUACCACCCUUUCCCAAACCUUCAUAGUAUGACUCAACAACUUAAUACCUCUAUAGUUGUUGCAACUCUGGAGGUCUCUCUUUUUCUUAUACACUGAAAUCAUAGUACUCCACCUCCACGCUUCAGGCAUCUUCAUCGCCCUAAAAAUACUAUUAAAUAACCUUGUCAACCACUCCAAACCUACCCCGCUAGUGAUCUUCCAAAAAUCCACUAGAAUCACAUUUGUCCCCGUUGCCUUACCCCGCUACAUCCUGCGAAUAGCUCCCUUGACCUCCCCAACCUUGAUAUACCUACAAUAACCAUAAUUGCGACACUUCUAAGAUUUCUUCAAUUGCAUUUCAAACAGUAAAAGUACUUAAUUGUAUCAAUUAUGGAACUUCUAGUUUCAAAUCUUAAUUUUCAUUUAGUCUCAAUUCAAAAAUUAAGUGCAUAAAAUUUAUUAGUUUAUUUUAAAUUUUCAGAUAUUGUUCUAUUGCUCAUUCAUAUUACAAUGAUCAAUUUUAUGAUUAAUAUCCUUAGUUAUUUUAUUUAUACAACUUGUUGUAUCUACUAAGUUAAUUUAAUUAAGAUCUCUCAAAUCACUCUCAAAAUCACCACCCCACCAAAUACUACACCCACCUCCUAGCCUUAUCCUUCAGCCACCACCCCGCCUCCCUAGUUUUUAUUAUAUUUUAGUUUAUUAGAUUUUUUGUAAAAUAUUUUUCUCACAUCACCAAUCUCUUAUCCCAAAUCCACCCUCCACCAACAAAAAAUAUUUUAUUUUUCUUUAAGAUAAAAUUUUAUAUUGCACCCACCCCUACUCCUUCAUACCCAUUCGACACACUACUUAAUACACACACAAAAAUAAUUACUUUUGAUUUUUUUCUAAAAAAAAAAAUUCCACCCUUCUGUCCUGACUCCCAAGAAAAAUAAUUUUUUUUAUCUUUUAAGAAUCAUUUUUUCUACUCCACAACUCUAACCCCUACCUACACUGCCACCCUACCUACCCCGCCUACCUAGCUCACCCCUACCCCAUCUCAACCACCAUAAUCUCUUGUUAUUCCCCUCAUCCAUCACUUUGCCUCAAUGCAAUUUAUAAUUUUGUGUUAACUAUACACAAGUUCUAUUAGAAAAUAUCUUUUAUUUACUGAUAAAAUAUCAAUUAUCAAUUUAUGUUAGCAUACAUGCUAUUACUAAUGUCAAAUAAUCACAUCAAAUAAAAUUAUCUAUUUUUUAAGCUCAAAAUGAACUAAUAGCUACUAAUUAAUAUUUUUACUAUCCUAAAUUUUUUGUAAAAAUAUUUACCAAAUUAAGUUCAAGCAUUUUAUAUCCCUCCAACAAAUUAUGCUUUUUGUUAUCUAUUGAAAAUAAUUUGAGACGUAGUGGAUUAAUUCAUCAUCAAAAUGAAAUAAAAUAUAUAAGCAUACACCAUUAGAUAUGACGAUGAAAGAAUAUACAAAGAUUAUGAUUAAACAUUCAGCAAUAUAUUUUCAAAGAAAUCUUUCUGAGAAAAUUAACACUUGAAUUCAUAAAAAGAAAUCGUUAUAAUUAACUUUAACAAAUAGGAAAGCAAUUGAAAAAGAUGAUGACAGAGAUAUAUGAUUAUGAUGAUAAAAAAUUGUAGUAAAAAAUAUGAAAGCAAUAGAAAGAGAUGAUGGACUCUGAUACCAUGAUAAUUAAAUGAACCUUGAACCUAACUCAACGUCAAAAGCUAGCACAUGAGGUGAGGAUUGUCCAAGAUCAUAUAAGGAGACUAAGGACUCAUUAAUCCACCGAUGUGGGACUUUCCCCUCCCUCUCCUUGCACGCCAAGACUGGACAUCUGAAGCAUAGGGAAUAUAAGAUGGGGAACUCAACAUUGAAAAUAAUGAAUUGGGUAGACCUGACUCUAAUACCAUGUUGAAGUGUGUGACCAUCUCAUCUAAAAGUUUAACUAUUAGAAAGAGUACACUUUUACUAUUUAAUUAUAUAUUCUCAACAGUUACUUAAUAUGCUAUUUUGGCAUUGAACAAAUGAACUUUACAUGGCAUUACAAACUGAAGCAAGAUACAAAAUUUUUGUUUCAAAUAGUUCAAGAAAGAAUCUUUUUUCCUUUUGAAACAAAGAAAUAGAGUCACAUUUGUUGGCUUGUUUUGUCCCCACAGUUGAACUAAGAGCACUUUGAGUGGAUGCAUUUUCUAUUAUUAAGGAUGUUCAAUAUUGGAAAAGUACUACUCCUUUCAUUUAAAAACGAAUGGUAGACCAAACAACAUAAUAAUUUCAUACAUUAUAUUAACUCCUAAGUAGCUACCAAACCUGAAAUUACUUAUGUCGGAUUCCUACAUAACUCGUUGCUAAGUCAGCUACCAAAUGACCCCUUAAUACCUUCUUUCUUUGUUCAUUGAGAAGACAAAGACCAAUGCAAGCAUAAUUCAAUUUAUCUGUAUAAUAUGUUCAAAACCAAGGUGCAGAAUAAAUACUUUACAUAAAUACAAAACUUCCUAAAUGAGUUUACCCAAUUGAUAUGAACGAUUUGAUUUACUCAGCUCCUGAUUCAUCAAUUGAUGACUAUCGUAUUUUUUCAUGAGAUCUGCCAGGUAGUUUUUUUUAUAACCAGAUUUUUAUAACAAAAAAAAAUGUACCACUACUACCUCUGCAGCAAUAAAAUCUUCUGAAGCAUCCAAUGAAAGUUGAGAGACUCGCUUCUCGUCUAUAGCUUUUGGUGAAUCAAUUGCUGAAAUUGAUGAAAAUUAUUCACCAUCAUUUCAACAUAUUUUGUCAUUUUUCUCAUUUUCAGUUCUCUUUAUAAAAGUCAUUAUUGGAUCUUUUCCCCUAGUAAUUGAAGUGGUUCUAAGAAUGGAGCAAAUUUUUCAGGUGCAGCUUGCGGUGGAAGCUCACAAGUGUCGGCAUUUGCAGGCAACUUAGAAGAUCUAGUUAAGGAUGGACCAACUUCCUUCAAAAUAAACAAGCUUCAAAAUGGAUCAUUUUGACUGAACCUUUUCCCUAUCUAUGUGCAAUGAAUAUGUUGAUAAUAGUAGGUAUCAUAAUCUUGGUCCAACUGUUAGGUUAGAUAGUAACUCAAGAAUCGUUUAUCAAUUCCCCUUUCUUAAGAACCCCAAAAAAUAUAUAACACUAGAACAGAAAAAAGUAAACUUAGACACAACAAAUGUUGAUUGUAUGAGAGGUUAUACAAAGUGAAGUUUUUAUAUAUAAUCAAAUUUAGGACCAAAAUUGGGAAAAAAAUUGAUUGACAUGAAUAAAUACUUCAAAUUGUAAUCUCCACUUGGAUUCACUCACAUUUAUUGCGUUUUUCUCAAAUUUUGGGUUUAAAAUCCUUCAGUUUUUUCAACGUGUUUGUGCUUUUCUCAGGUAUUGUUACUUGAACAAUUAUGUUAUUUUGGCCUUGAACUAAUGAACUCUAUGUGGCAUGAUAAACUGAAGAAUGACACAAAACUUUUGUUUCAAAAAGUUCAAGAAAGAAUAUUUUGUAUUUUUUAAACAAAGAAAUCAAGCCACAUUUCUUGGACUGAUUUGUCCACUCAUUGUGCUCUUAGUUCAACUGUAGGGACAAAAUAGUUCAACAAAUAUAGCUCUAUUUCUUUGUUUCAAAAAGUCAAAAGAUUCUUCCUUGAACUAUUUGAAACAAAACAUUUGUGUCUUUCUUUAGUUUGUUAUGCCACGUAGAGUUCAUUAGUUCAAUGCAUAAACAGCAUAACUGUUCAAGUAAUAUUACUUGAGAAAACGGCAAACACCCUAAAAAAUAUAAAAAUUUUAAACCGAACAUUUAAGAAAAACAUAAUAAAUGUGAGUGAAUACAAGUGGAGAUUACAAUUUGGAGUGUUUAUUCAUGUCAGUCAAUUUUGGUCAUAAAUUUGAGUAUAUGUACAAACCCCACUUUGUAUAACCUCUCAUACAAUCAACAUUUAUUGUGUUUGAGUUUACCUUUUUCUACUCGAGUGUUAUUUAUUUUUGGGGGUUCUUGAGAAAGGGGAAUUGAUAAGAGAUUCUUGAGUUACUACCUAACCUAGCAGCUGGACCUAGAUUGUGAUAUCUAUUAUUAUCAAUAUGUUCCAUGCAUAUAGCUAGGGAAGAAUGAUCUUUCAAAAUGAUCCAUCUUGAAUCUUGUUUAUUUCGAAGGAAAUUGGUCCAUCCUUACCUGGAUCUUCCAACCUGCCUGCAAAUGCCGACUCUGGUGACCUUCCACUGCAUGUUGCACCUGAAAAAAUUGCUCUAUUCUUAGAUCAAAUUAUUAGGGGAGGAUCCAAUAAUGACUUCUAUAAAGAGAUGUGAAAAUGAGAAAGAUGACAAAAUAGGUCAAAAUGAUGGUGUAGAAUUUUCAUCAAUUUCAGCAAGAGAUUCACCAAGAGCUAUAGCCGAGAAGAGAGUCUCUCAACUUUCAUUGGUUGCUUCAGAAGACUUUGCUGUUAUGGAGGCAUUAGUGGAACAUCUUAUUAUUUUUUAGUUAUCAAAAAAACCCUACCUUCCAGAUCCCAUGAUAAAAGACGAGAUAUAUGAUAUUGGACUCCCAUCUCAAUCAGUAGGAAAGGGCCCAAAAUCUCUCACCUUUUCUUUGUUGAUGAUCUAACUCUUUGUGCUGUUGCUAAUGAAAGAAACUGUGAAACCAUCCGAGCCACUCUUAGCAUCUUUACCUUCCACUCUAGCCAAAAAAUUAACAUUCUUAAAUCUAAAGUAAUCUUCUCUAGAAACUGUGCUCAGGAGACCAAAGAUAGUUUGUCUCACAUCUUAGGCAUCCAAUCCAAAGAAAAGUUCAGCAAAUAUCUUGGUUUUCCCGUCUUCAACAAAAAACCUUGCAAUAGAGAUUUGUAAUUCAUCCUAGACAAUCUCAACACUAAGUUGGCUGGAUGGAAAACCAAAUUUCCCAAUAUGACUGGUAGAAUCACCCUUACCAAAACCUCUCUGGCUUGUAAUCCCGCUCAUGUGAUGUAAUUCAUCUUGAUCCCCUUUAAAAUCAACUAAUUUAUUGAUAGAACCCAACAGACCUUUCUCUGGGGCACCACCCCUGAUAAUUAGAAAAUACAUCUAAUUAAUUGGGAAACCUUGAUUAAUGCUAAAGCUAAUGGGGGCCUGGGCCUCUAGAAAGCUUCCAUUAAGAACACCACUAUGUUAUCCAGUUUAGCCUGGAGAUUUUACAAACAUCCCAAUAGUCUCUGGGAAAAAAUUCUUUAAAAUAAAUUAGUCCCCAUGCCAUUUCCCUCAAAGCCAACAACUUUAGAACUUGGAAAAGUGUCCUUAUGGGUUGGGAAAUUUGUUAAACUGCCUCCUCUUGGAAUAUUCAUAAAGAUGAUAAGAUCAACUUCUGGAAGGAUAGAUGGAUGCCUCACUGUGAACUCCUUCUUUCCAUCAUCCAAGACCUUCUUCCAUAUCAUUCCCAAGACAUUAAACUCUAUGGGGUCUAAAGGAAUGACACCUGGAACUUCAAGGAUGUUACUUUUGAAAUCCAUGAGGAUCUCAUCCAAACUUUUACCAACAUUGAUUUCCCCAAUCCCAGAGGCCAUACUAAUGAGCUCAUUUGGAAUUUCACUGGUAAUUAUCUUUUCUCCAGCAGAAUUUCUUAUAAUCAUAUAGCCAAAACCUCUGAGAUCAAUUACUCCUCUAAUUUUAACUGGAUAUGGAAGGCUAAAUCCCCUAAAAAGGAAAACCUUUCUUUUGCUAAGCCAGUAUGAUAGGUACCCCAAUAACCUUAACCACUCUAAGAGAAGAGUGAGACAAAAUAGUAGUUGUGCUAUCUGCAAUCAUCACCAGGAAGACAAAUCCCACAUUUUCUUCAAGUGUCCCAUCCUCAAAUAUUUUGGAGUGCAAACUAUCCACAAGAUGACCCAGUCCAAACAACCUCCUAUUACUAGUCUCCUACCCUCUUACUGGCACACUAUCUGGAGAUCUCUUCAACACUCCCAAUUCAAUAGACUAAUCCACUAGCACGACAUUAUUCCUUUCGGCCUCUAGACAAUCUGGAACACCAGGAACUCUAAUACCUUUAAUAACAAAAGGGACCAUCCCAAUUUUAACUAUGCUUACUCCCAAACUAUUGAGUAUAAACAUCUUACUCAAAAGAAUACCCCAAUUAAGCAAAACCAAAUCAUCAACGUUAAGUGGAAUCCUCCCACCAGCCACACCUUCAAGCUCGAUACUGAUAAUUCUAGCCUUAGAAACCUCGAGAAGGGUGGAAUAGGAGCGGCAGUCAGAUCAAGUAAUGGAGGCUAAGUGUUAGGUUUGAACAAAAUUUAGCAAAUAAUUGAUGAGCUCUAAGGGUUUCCAACAAGAUUCAAAGAUGAUUCUCAUGGUCAUCCUCACUUCGAGAAUAUACAAGAAUAUCAUCUAUGAACACAAUAACAAAUAAAUACAGAUACCGCUUGAAGACUCGGUUCAUAAGAUCCAUGAAACCCGCUGGAGCAUUGGUUAACCCAAAAGACAUGACAAGAAACUCAAUAUGACCAUAGCGGGCUCGAAAAGAUGGCUUUGGAAUAUCACACUCUCUCACUUUAAGCGAAUGAUAGCCGGAUCUAAGGUCUAUCUCUGAGAAAUAACUUGCACCCUGUAGGUCAUCAAAUAAAUCAUCGAUUCUAGGAAGAGGGUACUUAUUCUUAAUAGUCACCUAGUUGAGUUGGUGGUAGUUAAUGCACAUACACAAUGUACCUUCUUUCUUCCACACAAAUAGAACAGGUGCAACCUACGGGGAAACACUGGGUCUGAUAAAGACUUUUUCUAAGAGGUCUUUGAGUUUCUCCGACAACUCUUUAAGUUCUGUGGGAGCCAUACGGUAUGGAGGGAUGGAAAUAGGCUGAGUUCCAGGAAGAAGAUCAAUCCUGAAUUCUAUUUCUCUAUCAGGUAGGACCCCUGGAAGGUCUUUCGGGAAAACAUUGGGAAACUCUUUAGCAAUGAUAACUGAACAAAUAGUUGGAGUCGCGAACUUAAGGUCUUUAACUCGAACUAGAUGAUAUAUACAACCCUUGGAAAUCAACUUCCUAGCUUUGAGGCAGGAUAUGAAAUGGCUCUUUGGAGUUAUAGAACUCCCAAACCACUCAAACCUAGGUUUGUUUCGAAACUAAAACUUGACCACUCAGGUAUGACAAUCUAUAGACGCAUAGCAUGAGUGAAACCAAUCUAUACCUAGAAUGACAUCAAAAUCAACCAUAUCUAUCUCAAUCAGAUCAACACAUAUGACCUGAUGAAGGACAGUAAUAGGACACUUCUUAUACACUCACAUAGCAAUAACAGACUCUCCUACCGGGGUAGAAACCAGAAUAGGUUCAGGAAUCCAUUCAGGGUCCAUCUCAAAAUUUAUAGAAACUAGAGGUGUCACAUAAGAGAAACUCAAACUGGGGUCCAUCAAUACAUACACAUCAAAAUGAAAGACACGGAGCAUACCAGUGACAACAUCUAGGGAAUCCUCCUACUCCUGGAGAAGUGGUAUAGCAUAGAAUCAAGUCUAGCGUGAACCACCAACAAUACUAGAAGAGGCACACUGAGGAGGAACUGGGUGGACUAUGGCAGCAGAGGCACUGGUAGCCUGACUCUGGGGACGAGCAUCUUGACCCCCUGUCUAGCAUACAGAUAAUCUCUAAGUCAGUGGCCCAACUUGCCACAACCAAAGCAAUAUCUCUGAUCAAUAAAACACUCACCAAAAUUAUCGCUACCAUACUUGGCAUAUGAAGGAGGACGAGGUAUGUUACUUACACUUUCUUGAGACGUGGAUGGGAUAGGCCUGUUCCCCUGCUCUUGCCUGCUUCUAGGUGCAGGAGCACUAACUGAGGAAGGUGCGGGCAUAAAUGAAAGUCUCUGGAACUGAAGGCGGUCCCCUUCAUAGAAUCUGGACUAACCGAAUACCUGCUACUCUGAUCUAGCUCUUUUAUUUUCUCUUACUCUCUCCCUCUCUUCCACCUUAUCAGCUUCAAUCUAUUGGGCAUGUAUCAUCAACCGAUAAAGGUUUAUCUUUCUAUUAAGCAUAGCAGAUUUACACUAUUUCAUAACGUAACUCAACACACUGGUCAUAAACUUACUCAUGAUGGUCCUGGAGACAGCCAUCAUACUAGGUGUAUAUUUGGACAACUGAUUGAAUCUAACACAAUACUCCUUAACAGUCAUGGAGCCUUGUCUCAAAUUUAUUAAUUCCUCUAUCUUUGCUUCCCUUAUCUCAAGAGGAAAGAAUUUGUCCAAGAACGCAUCUUGGAAUAACUGCCAAGUCAUGGGGCGGCAUCCUCCCCUCCACUUUCCCUCCAUACUUACACCCAAUCAUAUGCAAUAUCUUUCAUUCGAUAGGCAGCCAAUUCAACACUCUCCUCUUCAGUUAUGUGCAUAAUCUGGGUGAUCUUUCUCACUUCAUCCAAGUACAUCUGUGGGUCUUCACCUAUCUUUGACCCAUAGAACUCAGGAGGAUUCAUCUGCAUAAAGUCACAAAUCAAGCUGCAGCAGAAAUAAUCUCUUACGGAGGUGGAAUAGUAGCCUAGUUUUUAGCUUGAGUAUUGGCAGUAACUAACGAGGCUAGCACCUGAAAAUCUGCCCAGAAUUAUACAUGUGACACAUGCUCGUUCAGGGGUUCAACGGGUUGAGGUUGCUCAUUUUUUCUAUGAGCUCGAUAAGGAGGCAUUUUCUAUCAUAAGAGAGCAUGAAUUAAUAGCAGAGAGAAAUAGUCGUAGGACCGAUAGACUUUUGAAAGAAAAAAAUGACUUUUCCUAAAACGUCCCAUAGCCUCUUGCUCAUAUAUAUGGCACGCUACACAUCGAUGAUCACGACUCUACAUAACACGGCUUACCAGACUCCCUAGGACUCCUUAAACCAUAGGCCCUGAUACCAAGCUUGUAACACCCCAAGAUCCCAUCCCGAGACAUCACACGGUGCUAAAGGCCAUACGCGGCCUCAAGCUAACCCUCUAAACCUGUCAUUACUUUGAGAACUCACUUUUAAAAUAGUCAUGCUAAUAUAAUAGAGAAUGACAUAUCAUAAACAUACUGGAAUAAGUUACGAAACUAGCAUGUACAAUCUAAAAUACUGAAAUUCUGUACAUACUAACCCUUAAGCCUGACAAAGCCUCUAGACAUCAAAAUCAAGGAGACAUUGGGACAAACCCCCAACUGACUCACACAGUACUGAAAACCAUAAAAACAAAAUGGUAUCACAAAGUUAUAAACACAUUCCUCAAACUAUGAGGACUCACCACUGAGUAGACGAAAAGUGGCUCCUGAAUAUCGUUAACGCGGCUGUGUACCUGAACCUACAUUAUGAGAAAAUUUAGACCAUAGAAAAAUAUGUGGCUCAGCACUUUGAAAUGUACUGAGUAUGUCGGGGUGCAUGCAUAAUGUAAAUAUCGUCAUCAACUUCAUGAAAAUAUGCAUAUGUACAAUGAUGGCUUACUUGGCUUGAGUUAGAUUGAAACAUAAUUUUCAUGAUCUCACCGUAAAUAAAUCAUAUGAUAAAACCCUCAUAAAUCAUCAUAAACAACUCAACUAUUCAACUCAAGACUCGGAGUGACCUAUAAUUCAAGAAACUCGACUCUUAUGGACAUGGGAGGUUCUUAUAACUGACAUAAGCCAAGUGAGCUACAUGGAGUCCAACAUUUUGCCCUCCUAAGGAGAGAACCCCACAUUGACGAGAGCGUCAUACUCUUGACAGGGAGUACAACCUAAAUUAAGUGAUCACAAUCUCAUACUCGGCCAUCGACCCUCAAUUAUCAAUAUCAAUCCUACGGUGGAACAUAGUUUUGGGGGAAAUACAAUAUUUCCUAUUCGGUGCUAAAUACUACUCCCAGACAUAAGCUCGGAACGCAUUAGGAAAUCCACAACAAACAUCACAAGGGUCUAUCAUGAAGACCAAAUCAAAUCUCUUUCUCAUUUAUCAAAUCAUAAUCAAUAUGUGGAUUCCUAACUCGACUCAAAUCAAAUCAAUCUUUCUCAAUAUCAAAAUGCAUCAAUUCAUUAAGUCAUGGGAACAUCAAUAACUUUGAGAAAAUAUCAAGACUCAUUGUAACAACUCAAUUCUUAUGAAUCAAUAUACUCAAUAAUCCAAUUUGUCAUAAGGAAGCUUAAAGCUUGACACAUAUCUUGAAAGCACUUGAAAUACCAACUCAUGGUAGAAACUUGAAAUUCACAAUAUUAAAUAUCAAGUCAUAACUUGGAAAUUAUAAAAUAAUCAUGUAUAACAAAGCUUGAAAUAUUUAUAUUCUCAUAAUCUCAUGAUGAAGUAAUUUGGGUAUAAACCCACUUGCAAAAUUAUAUAAAUCCACUAUAAAAAUCAAAGCAUUGAGCACAAGAACGAAAGAAUUGCUCUUGUUCAAAACUCCACAUACCUUAAUCUUUGAAAUUGGUUGAACUAUAGUGCUUGAGACUUUACUCACACUUGUAAUAAAAAAAUUCUUGAUUCCCACUCUAUGAGGAACUUGAUUCUUGGAGGAAUCUUGAAGAUUUAUGGAUGAUUUUGUGGAGAUUAAUUUCCUUAAAUAAAACCCUAGAUAUAUUUCAUAAAAGAAUUAGAAGAGAGAAAUGAAGAAAUAAGGUUUUGGAUGACGAUUCUCAUAUAUAUAUAGGCCUCCGAAAAUAGGAAAUGACUAAAAUACCCUUGCAAAUAUCGUUCAUCAAUUGCUGAAAAAAAUAGCUGAUGAUAUCUGUGACAAGCUGUCAGGCCCGUGAUAGGUCUCCACCAAUUGUCAUCACAAAAAGGGUGGAUUUUGUGACGGGCCGUCAGGCUUUUGACAAGUCGUCACAAAAGGUCAUCACGAAUUCUCCAGGCUGACAUGCUGGAGUAAAAUAAGCAUAACUCUUUCCUGCGAUAUUGUAUUUUGACGAAAUGGGUAUCGUUGGCAAGAUAAUUCAAUUAUCUAUCUUUUGGUAGGUCAUUACCUCAAUAAUUCAUAGUACAACGGGAGAUAUGCUCAUUUGAAGUUGACUAUGCCAAAAUCCUUCUCAAGAAUUCAAUCAGUAAAGAAUGUUUUGAUUCACCCUAGCGUUAGGACAUCUUUAAAGUCUUAAUACACAUCACCCUUGACCAGAAAACAACCAAAACACUAUAAUUUAUUUCUUAUGGGCUUGUGUCAUUUCGGCAUUAUUGGUUAGAAUCUCGGGGUAUUACAUUAUUACUUUUAAUUAUCUUUGCUAUUUACCUUUCUACAAAUAUAAUGCAAAUUUAUCUUAUAAUGUUAUAAUUGAAUUUAAAUAAAAUAUUUGAGAUCAACCACAUAUAUUUGAUAGUAAAUUAUGUUUUAUUAUUAUUAUUAUUAUUAUUAUUAUCAUUAUUUUUAUUAUUAUUAUUAUUAGUAGUAGAUAGUUCAACUAUGAUUUUUUAAUUUUAAACUAAUGAAUUAUUUUUUUAAAUUUUCAAAGCCUACUAUUUUCAAAUUCAUAUAUUUCUAUUAACAUAGUGAAUUACUUAUGUAGGACUUAAUUACCUGCAUAACUCACUGCUAAACUAACUACCAAAAAAUACGCUACUACCUGCGUAAAUAAUAUAUAGAUAAUCCCUAAAUUAAAAAAAUCUGCAUCACUCUAAUUGAGGCCCUUUCAUUAUUUACUUACAGCUUCUUAGGUUUAAGUGGGUAAACAGAUGAAAAAAGAAAAGAAAA